Molecule: long non-coding RNA, 72772 nt
Organism: Diorhabda carinulata
Lineage: Eukaryota; Metazoa; Arthropoda; Insecta; Coleoptera; Chrysomelidae
Exons: 2
Source: RefSeq, a predicted model, not a curated record
ACUGCUUUCUUAGUUGCGAUUGUUGGAAUUUCCUAUGUGUGAUAUAAAUCAUUGUCUAAUAAGACAACACAGCUCUCUUCAAGCUUUGCUAGAGUUUUCGAAAACCAAUUUUCAAAACAGAACAUUUCUUGUGAUAGUCCCCAGUUUCUGGCAGUAAACGAUUCUACUUUUCCCAAUCAUAAACUGUUCCUUCCUCGUCUUUUGUUAAAAAAAAAUUGGAUACAACUCUUCUCAUGGCGAAAUUAUCGAUUGAAUUUUUUUUUACUCGAUCACUGAAUGAUUAGCUCUGUACUUACGAAGGAUUAGGUAGACACUUGAAGAAGCUUCUUAGCUCUCUUCUUAUGCUUAGUAUAGCUAAAGGUGACAUUUUCAUAUUGAUGAAAAUUACGCAACAAACAAAUUCAAACAAUCUCAUAGUAUUAUGAUAAUACGAUGCCGUCCCUGUACUACACCUGAUCUAGAGGCUUCUGCAGCGAUGCGUUGAUCGCUCCUCCCACACGGCUAUUUAUUUGUGCCACGUUUCGCUCGGGAUACGCUGAUCACGCACUGAUAAUUAUUUUGGUUUACUAUUUUUCUUCGAUAGAUAUAGACUUUAAUCAAAGUAUAAUUUUUUAUCUAGUCUACAUGAACCACAGAAUAUGCGUCAAUGCCUGGGAUCCUAGUUUUCGACGAUAAGAAGAUGUUUAAACAGACAUGAUUUAAUGUAUAUUAUUUCUCGUUCUGGUACUUCACAUAUCGUAUUAGGGAAAUGAGUUUUUGAUAACUCAUUUAAAAAAUAACUUCUGAAAUUGUAAUUUUUUAAUUCCACGAAUGUUAUGGCAUUUUACUCUUCGAUGGGGAGGAAAUAAUGCUAUCAGAGAGGGUUAGAAAGGGAUCAACUGUGAAAUCUAGGCUGUGCUACCAGAUUUAGCAACAUUAUUUCUGAAGAUAUAUUCACGUCUUUAUUUUUUUCUAGUAUCAUGAGAAAAAUCCAAAAAUAAUAUUGGUUAUUAGUUUCCGUUAACUUCUACAAAGUCUACAAAUCGUAAAAGGUGAUAUUUAAUUUUUAUCUUUUUGUUGUUAUCAAUAAAUUGAAAAAUAUCAUGUUGACACUAAAAUUGUGGUUUAUAUAUUGAAAUAAAUACAUAACUAUUAUUCAUAGAAAACCUUAUGGGUCAUUUUAUAAAAGGGUGAGUCUCGAUUCUCCCCUAAUAUGAAUUAUAGCUCAGAUACUAGUUAGGACCCAUGUGCGUCGUUGACAUCUUUUUCGAUUUAUAUGCGUGUACUUAAUCUGAAAGUGACAUUGGACCUGUAUCCCUGGAAAUUAUUGCAGGGAUAUAGUUCUCGUAUGGAACUUAGGCAUUGUGAUUAAAUUAAACUAUUUAACUAGUUGUGUAGCAUUUAAAAUUUCCGCUUCUCAUUAACUUUUUAAAGAACCGAUUGUAUCAAAAUCAGGUCGACAUAUGUAUCAAAUUUUUUUUCUACGACACAAUAUAUUGUAAUUAAACGAAUAUCUCGUGAUCCGAUCGUUAUAACGAACUUCCUGUAAUAGUACCUAGACGUUAUCACGAAGGGAUUUUGCGUCUAAGACGCUGCCGUUGCUAGCAUUAAUAACUAAUAUUCAGAUUGGCAUACAGGCACAUUGUGGUGUCAAGGCACACAUCAACUGAUUUGCCAGGAUAAUGGAAAAGACGGCGACGAAGGAGAAGCAGGACAGCAAACCCUUGUACAUAUUCAGCAGGAAUAAGGCAUGGACUACGUACAAUCAAUUCCUUAUUCCAUCUCACUGGUAGUUAUUGGACAGUGCCGGAGGACUAAAUAUGCUAAAUAAGAUGUUAUCGAAAAGUAAUAAUUUUUGAGAAAACUGGUUGUUUGUUCUAAUAAUUGGCAAGUGAUUGUGCAUUUUUUUAGCAUUGUAAAACAUUGAGCCCUUAAAUAAUUUUGAACAUGGAAUAGGUAGGAAAAGGUCGUGCUCCCCGUUUCUAAGUAGACUUUUAUGAAAUUGGAGAAGCGUUUUUAGAGUCGAAAUGUUUAAUCUUUCAAAAAAGUCCCGGCAGUAAUCACUGCUGUUUAGUCCAAAGCUCUCUUUUGUAGUUUGAAUAUUCGCUCAAAUUGAGUCGCACCACACGCACCCCAGAAGGGCAUAUCGGAGAUGCGUCUCAAUAAGGGCAUGAUAAACUUUUAAGGGGUGGAUAAUUUUUUAGAUAAAGCGGUAAUAUGUAACUCCCAUUUCAAGGAGUUUUUUGUAUUCUGAUGUAUAUAGUACAAAUAGUACAAACAUAUUUUAAAUUUCUUUGGAUGAAAAUAAUAGGAUGAAUGAUAUUUGUCUAGUGAGAAAAUAAUGAAGAAACUUCAUAUAUCAAGGACUUUGUAUUCUCCAGAUAUUUUCUAGGUCAGAUAUAAUCUCGAAUAAGAAAUAUACUAGACGUUGAAAUUUGAUAAUUCAACUAAUUUCAAUUAAUAUAUCACAAAAAUUUAAAGAAGUGCUUCUAAUAAACUCCGAAAAAGCACAACCCUAUUAAAUACAAAUGAGAAUGUUCAAUUUAUCUCAAAAUAUUCAAUCUUAUAUUGCUGCGUCCAAACUUGUGACCUGGUGUUGAAUGAACUAAAUGCAUUUGUUCAUACCGUUCAAAUGGAGUCAUUGAUAUUUCAAUAAAUCUAAGGGAUUCACAAACAGAAUUUAAUAAUUUUUUAUUGAAGAACAAAACAAUAAUAACCACUUAACACACAGAUAUAUAAAAUGGAUGCUAUAUUACAAGAUAAUGCUAUUAAAUAACGAGAUUCUACAGAAAAAGUACGCAUGCGCCAAAUGUAAGCGACAGUCAACUGUUUAACUUGAAGCCUACUCUUUCGAAUGCCAUGUCUACCAUGUCUGUAAACAAAUCAGUGUAGCCGUAUCAUUUGUUGGUAUAGAAUCGAUUUUUUUGCAAUGCAAAUAUUCAAAUUCAAAAUGACUAAAACAUAUUAGAAAAGGUAAUAAUGCGUGACGAAUCAAAUCUGCAUCAGAAUGAAAAGUAUUUUAGUCUGUUGGAAUGAAAAGGCGACGCGCGUGCUCAAGAAACUAACAGAAAAUGGCUUCAUGCACUGUUUCGAAUAAUGGAAGAUUUGUAUGGAGUAAAAUAGGGGUGGAGAAUAAGUAUAUAUUGAGGUUGAUAAUAAAAAAAACAUACAUAGUAUCAAAAUAAAAUAUUAUAUAUGAGCUGUCUCAUUAAUUAAUAGCCACACCUGGUAUGUCGAGAAUGACAGCCCAAUAUCCGAUAUAUUUGGUAAAAAUUUAGUUCUGUACUAUAAGCAGUGAAAAAUUUGUUUUUUUGACAUCAGAAGGAAGCAAAAUUUCGGAACACCGGAAAUUUCAUGCCAAUAUUUAAUGGUAAAUUUAACUAUCGGUUAAGUAAUCCUCUACUUAGAGAUACAUUCAAUUUAUAUUUUAUUUACGCGCUUGUUAAGAUUGCCCAGCAGUUUAAUAUAGCCUACAUUAGUGGUAAAAUAUGUAAUAAUUGAAUAUAACUUGUAAUCUUCAUUUGAUUUAGAGGGUUUUGAAAAAAUAAUAAUGAUAAUAUACAAAGAUUUUUGAAGAUAUUUGUUUAGUGUUAAAAAAAAAUUUGCACAACCUACAAUUUGGACUAUUCAUAACUAUUAUUUCUUAAAAAUUCAUCAACACCACUAUGAGUCGGAACAUCUAAUUAAAAUCAACUGUAAAGUUUAGGGUUCGAAAUACUGCAGCAAGCUCUUGGGAUUCAUAUUUUUACUGUUCUUCAAGGUGGAACUUCAUGUUAUUCUCUACUCACAACACAGUGUAUUAUAAAUUUUUUUAUUCCGACCACGCUUGAAUGUAAACUUGCUAAUAAAUUUCUAUAACAGUAUUCUCGUAUUAAGAAUAUUCAUUUAUUUCUAAUACUGCCUAAAACCAGAAGACUUGAAGUGUAGCUGUUGCAUCUGGAUGUGCAGGUUCAAAGUAGUGUAGAACCUGAGUGUCAUCAGCAUAUGAUUGAAUGAGACACUGUCACAUAUAUCAAAGACAUAAACGGAGAACAAAAGUGGGCCAAUUAUUGAACCCUGCCUCUGCCUUCUUCCUUCGAAGGAUUUACAAGAUAUUUCGUCAAAUCUUAGAUAUUUCAGCUUUGCGCAAAGAAGAUCAUGAUCUAGAGACAACUUUCUCCUCAUCCUAUGCUCUUAUUAUGUUGUCAGGGAUAUUUAACAUUGCAGUUGCUAUGCUAUGCUUCUUACGAAACCCUAACUGAUACACGGGAAGAUUAUUUUCCUGUGAAGAAGAGCAAAUCUUUCAACUCAGUCAGAUUAUGUACUUUAGGUACUGGAAAGACUAACACCUUCUUCCUGCCGUUCAGAAAAUGGCCAGUCUCUAGAAAUCAAUUUAUAAUAUGUGUAAAUAUGUCUAUAGAUUGAGCGAAGUUAAUGUAGUGUCAAUAAAAAAUUAAACUUGUUUUAAUAAAAGUUGUAUUUAUGUAUAAAAUUGUACAAUGGUAGUACCAUUGGGUGUAGAAUAUUUUUGUUAAUAUUUGAAGGGUAUAAGCAAAUGAAUUCGAAUGGUUUUCAAACUCUGGAAUACGCAAUAUUUAAUGGGCCAAGAGAAAAGCGCGGAUUUUUCAAAUCUAACCCACAAAUCUUCAUUAUUUAACCCUGUGACUUAUUAAUAGUUAUAGCAAUUACCAAAAGGAAUGUGAAAUUGUAGACGUUUGAAUGCUAUAGAUGAAUCUGAAAAAAUCAUUAGGAUCCGUGUCGAAGUGUGUCUGAUUAAUGUGUUAUUCUAUUACUCACCUUUUUUCGAAUUAAAAAAUGGUUUAAUAAUGUGUUACGCAAUCAAUUAGCUACACAAAUAGGUUUGUAGAUUAGGAUAUUUGCUGAUCAACGCACGUGUAAAUUUAUUAGAAAACCAUGUGAAAUAUUUACUUCAAACUAAAUUUGAAGAAUCAAUAUUUUCAUUCUCAAUUCAAAACUUUUUAAACUCCAAUUAUAUUAUUAUUUUUUUCAAAUUUUUUCUUAAUCGGAUCGUAGCACCAGCUGUCGGGUCAAACUGGAAUGAUAAUAAAAUGCGAUCGUAGCGCAGUCUUCCGAAUUCAAUGUAAAACAUUCCAAGAUCAACAACAAUUUCAUUAAAAUCAAUUCAAAAGUCUAUUGCUAGAUCUUGUUUGAAAUAAACCUAAAAAAAUGUCUUCUACUUACAGUUAUCAUUAUUUAUUUAAUUACAAUACUUAUUGCAUUUAUUAUUAAAUAUGAUUGUUCAGUUGUGUUGAGUGAAUAAAUUUUUAAUGUGUAACAAAUGUCAUCAGCGUCCCAAAUACACACCACGUAUGUUGAGGAAAGUUUUAUUUCUAAUUGUUUUAUAAUAUAUAAAAAAAAUUUAAGAAAAGUUGUUAUUGCAUUAUCUAUCCAAGAAAAUAAACAUAAAAACGUCUUGAGACUAAAAAAUUCUUUUUUCAUUUUAAUUCUUUGUAUACGAAAGUUGAUUUGAAAAUUCAGUUAUUAGAGUUGAUUUUUUCCCAAGAUCCAAUGGGACGCUCCAACAUUAACCAAGAGGAACAAUUGUACGACGUAUUUACUGAUAUCAAACAUUUUUGAACUGACAUUUUCAUGAGAAUCAAUUUUAGUCGAGGAAGCAACAGUAUUGUGGAAUUAAUACAAAUAAUUUUACAUCACCCUAUCAUUUAUAUCAAUACAUUUUGACCACUACUUUCCCCCCGUAUUUUCGUCCUCCCUAUAGUCCCUUCCGUGCCCGGAGAUCCUCCUACUAGUUCACUUUGGCCUUUUCGUCUCUCGCCCCGCAUUUACCCAUCUCUCGAAAGCCCCCAAGGAUCGUAUGUGUAUAUGCAGAUAUCGCCAUGAUGUAUAUGAGUCUAUUGAUCAGGGUAUGUAAGCAUCUUGGCUCUCUCUGUCAUAGACGUAGAAGAUUUCCUACAAAUAGUCGCAUCUACUAAACUUUGAAAACCACAAAAAAGAAAUUUUCAUCACGUAAUAUUAUUCUAAUACUGAAAAUGAGGAUCCUUUUGAUAAAACGAAACGUAUAAGGUUAUAGAACGUGCUCUUUUUUCUUCACUUCCAAUUAAUUGGACUCAAGACAUGAAAAAACUCAGUCAAAGAAAUUAUAGUAAACGAAAAACAAAUAAAGUUAUCGUUUAGCAUCCUGAAGACACAAUGGGACUGAAAAGAACAAGUUCCGUAAAAUAACACGAUGAGUAUCUGGUAUGGGUAUGUCUCACAGAGGUCUCAUUAUGUGAAUUGUUGAUCAGAUUUCGUGCUACAUUGGGCGAUUCAACUAUUUCUAAUAAAAACAAAAAUUCACGAUAGAUCACUAGAGCUUAGCUUGAAGCUUUAAAUAUGCACGAAAAGAACAGUUGGAGGAUCUGAAUAAAGGUAGCAAAUUAUUUUACGGCGCCUCUUGCCAUGUGACAUCAAUCUUUAAUGCUAGUUCCCCCUUACUCUGCCAUCACGUUUCAUGUUUCUGCACAUGAAGCCACAAUGUUCUCUCAGAAAGACAGUGAUAAUGUUUAGUACAACCAGAUAUUUCCUAGAUCUCACAGCAUUGAAUUUCCGAACUUUUGGAUGUGUCUUAGAAGGAUCCAGCAGAGUCAAAUUUUUUUCACAUUCUCUCUUCUUCUGAAACUUUUUCUUUCAGUUGCCAUUUCCGAUGUCACAGAAUGACUCAACCAGCGAGAGUUUUGUACUUUUUUCAUUUCGGUGUUCAAAUUCCUAUUCAAAAAAAUUUAUUGGUUACUGGGAAGACUAUCCACUCUACCUAACCUAACCUAACCAAAUAAUCCAAAGAUUUCAAUAUAAAGUGCUAAGGAGCAUCGUUGAUGCACCUUGAUACCGAUACCGGAACAGCGAUCUUCAUGUAGACCUGGAGAUAAAUACAGUGAGACAUCCACUAAAUUCGCAAAGAGUCACAAUGUCGAAACAUGUGAACAUCGAAGACUGAAGAGGACUAAGCCUUUUGAGAUGGUUAACUAAGUGCUUAGUGUAAAAGCAGAGCAAAGUGCCGAAUUUUACAUAUUAGUGUUAGUGUUGACAAUAAUAAUUGUACAGGGUACUUCACGAUGGGAUGAAUCGAUAUGUAUAUGGGAAAGUACUACGACUAGUGUCUACUGAAAAUUUGCUUACAUGUGUUUUGUUAUACCGGAAGUGGACCCCAACUUCGUUAUUUUAAACAGAAUGCUAUGGUUUAUGGAAUCCACGCGAAAUUUCAAUAUAUUAUAGGCAUAGCAUGCCUAAAGUCCACCAUUUUUUAAUUAUUUCAAAUUUUCAAAAUUUUUGGACACAUGCAAGCCCCCCACUUUUUCCACUAUUUCUAAAUUUAAGUGAAUCAGGUCUAAUAUUUUUGGGAUUUGGGGAAAUAACACUUGCAGCUUUGAAAAUCUAUGAAAACCUUAACAAAAAUUUAUAUAGGGUGUUUAGAAAAUGGUGCCGAAUUUCGCUAUCUAAAAACUUCGAACACUUAAUUUUUUCAAAUAGCAACCUCUAUUUUUCUCUUUGCGAUUGGAUUCUACGUUUUAAAUUGAGGCAAAUUUUCUCAUAUGCAUAUCGAUUCAGCUCGUUAUGAAGGACCCUGUACAUAAUAAUUGAAGGAGUAAGACACUUAGUUCACAGACACUUGUAGUAAUUUAGGAUGGAACAAAAUUUUUCGUUGAUUGUGAUAAUAAUCAGAUCACAAUAACAGGAAGAUCUUCCAGGUUUUCUUUUAAAAAACAUCUUAUUCCAAAAUAAGUCCAUUUAGCGAGAGGACUAAUAAUCGACAUCGAAUAAUUUAUUUGUUAUAUAUAAUUAUUCAACAACAGAGACUGAAAGUUCGAUAUAAUAAUCAAUCAUCAUUACCUUGUAUGAUUUAAACGUUUGAAGUUUAAACACGGCUAUUCAAGCAUCGAUAAUGCUCAACGAUCAGAAUUUCCAUCAUGAUGGAAACUGGAUGUUUAUCGGCAUGAUGCAAAGGAAAUAAAUAUGUAUUACACCUAAAAUUGUUGACUAUUUAUACCUUCCAGUAUGAAAAUAAAGACGAUGAAAACACUGAAUCUGGCCUCAUUAGAGAAGACCCUUUAAAACUGCAAUUAUAUCAAGAACGUCAAAUCAUGGUAAAGUCAAUAAAGGUGUUUUUAUUGAUCUAAGAAUGUUGACAUCAAUUUGGCUUUAAUUACAUGUACCAGGUGUGGCUAACUUGGACAAACAUAAGAAGUGAGAGUCUGUUUACGAUAUUCAGAAAUGACGUCAAAUUCUAAUGAAUAAAUGUUUCAUAUCAAUUAAAACUAAGAACUAUCAAAAUUUUGACAAUAGAAGACAUAUAUAAAGACAAAAAAAUACAGGCAAGAAUAGACUUACAGAAGAAAUAAAUGUAGGCACGAAUAUCAAUCAGGGAGAUUCCUUAAGCCCCUUACUUUUUAAUCUCAUAGUGGAUGAAAUAAUAAAAGCAGAGGAAAAGAGGAAAGGUUACAAGAUGGGAAAUAGAGAAAUAAAAAUCCUCUGCUAUGCAGAUGAUGCUAUCCUUGUAGCAGAAAGUGAAGACGACUUACAAAAAUUGGUUCACGAGUUCAAUAUAGUAGCAAAGAAGCUGAACAUGGUAAUUUCAUCCCAAAAAAAACACUGGUCAUUAGCAAAGAACCGAUUAGAUGUAAGAUAGGAAUUGACGAUACCAGCAUUGAACAGAUUAUGGAAACUAACUACUUAAGCAUCACACACUAUCAAGCUAUGGAGAUGUAGAAUCAGAAGUAAAAAAACAAAUACAGAAAGCCAAUAGAUCAGCAGGAUGCCUCAAUAAAACAAUAUGGAGAAACAAACAUAUUAGAACGGAACUAGAAAUUUAGAAUUUACCAAGUUCUUAUAAGAUCAAUAAUGACAUACACAGCAGAAACGCGACUGGACACGUCCAAAAGACAAAGAAUGCCGGAAACAGCUGGAAUGAGAAUACUAAGGAGAAUCACGGGGAACACACUGAAAGAUCGAGUAAGUAGAGACUAAAUUAGAACAACAUGUAAUGUGGAGGAGAGUGGUUAUUGAAUAGAAAAAGAGAAUGGAACAAUCAUAUAAGUAGAAUGACAGAUGAUAGGGUAGUAAAGAUAGCAAGAGACAAAUCGCCGGCCGGGAGGAGAAGUGUCGGUCGACCCUGGAAAAGAUGGAGCGAUAAUAUAACUUAAAAGCACAACAAAAGAAAGAAACAACCAGAAUUGCCUAUAGAAAAGAUAGAAGAAGAAGAUCUUGAUCGAACCUCGGAGGUGUCCCACUACUAAUUAUAAGGUUCAUAAAAAGCUAGAAGUAGAGAUCCCAGACUGAGACUAAGAAGAAAAAGAAACACUGUUAUCUAUUCAUCUGAAUUCAUCCCUAGCGAAAAAUUGAUAAAGAACUCUUCACAUUGUCUUUCUAAAAAAGAUCAGAGCUGUUUUUGGGUGGCAACAGCGUUCAUACUCUCCAAAUCACUGCUUUAAGAUGGUGGGUGCUACUAUGCCGAGGUUUGGACGACAAAUUCUUGUGGUUCUGUGAUGGUUCUACGUCUAGAGCUUUUGGUCAUAUCUUAAGCGAAUGCUCGUUAAUAAUGAAAUUUAGAAUAUUGAUUCUGAAGUCACAUUACCGAGACAGCUGACGAAUUCAACGUUGGUUUACAUGGUCAAAAACAGUACAUAACAAGGGCAUGAAACUUUUUUUUUUAUUUUUAACUAACAUUUAUUGGUUCUGCAUUUUGUUAGCUAAUGUGAACCUGAACUAUUUUUGAUGAAAUAAGUAACAGAAUCGUAAGGCAAUUGCUAGCAGUUACUGCACAAUAUGCCGACAAUCUUCUUUACAUCUGCUUGGUUUGAAAAAACAAGACCGUGUCACAAUUGAUUUAAAAGUACACAAAACAAAAAAAUGUGAGAAUUGUAAAAGUUUUGUCGGCUAAUUACACAUAUACACAACCAGUAACACUCAUUUUCCGUUCAAUUUACUGAACAAAAAAACCCGUUUUUACAUGUGAUUUCUUGAAGCGCAGGAAGUUAGUUUUUUUUUUGUUCUAUCCGAAUUCAACUUUUGUUUCAAUCGGGUAGUUCAAGUUGCACAGUCACUGUUAUAUGCUUCAUUAAAUUCUCAUAUCGAUUCGGUAUGGGAACAAUUUUAAGAUAAAUCGAUUAAGUAAUAACUAAAGGGUUCAAAGACUGUGAACGUGUCAAAAUGAUCUAAUAGCGGACAAAAAUUUAACUUAUGUUGAUUCUUACUUAUAGGUGUGAAGAAAAGAAAAUAUGAAUGUAGAGUGUAGGAAAUAUAUUUCUUCAAUUUCUUUUUAAGACUCUUCUGUUUUUAAAUUAGUUUUCAAAAUAUUUUGAAAAAAAGUCAAAACGUCGAAUUUUAUCUUCCAAAAAUUAUUAGAAAAACUAGUUUUAAAACAGAAGAGACCUAAAAUCAAGAACAUUUAGGUGCAUUAGUAUAGAAAAUAUACAUAUACAUUCUAUUUAUACUUUUGGAUUUAUUUUUCACAUAUUUAUAACUAGACUAUUGAACAUACGGGUUGUUCGUUAUUAUGUGUAAAAAUUCUACAGGAAAAAUCGCGAACCUAGAAUAUGAAGAUGAAACCCGAAUCAUAGAUUGAGGUUAAAAGUGUACAAAUCAAAAUAUAAAAAUUUUUUGUGUUUAUUUUCUCAAAUCUUUUGAACAUUUUUCAUUAUAUAUUAGUAUGAGUCAAAAAAUAAUUUUUAUUCACAACCAUAUAUGCAAUGCUGUCAUUAGUAACGUCAUUUAAGGCUAGAAAGUGUCAUAUUACACACCUCUAUUUCUCGCCCUCAUUUCCUACCCUCACUUUCCGCCCUCUAAAAUGUUGUGUCCGUUAAAAUUUUUCUCAUCUAUUCUAGAUGAAUAUUUCAAAUAUUAUAAUACCUAUUUAAUAGCAAACAAUUGAAACUAACAAUGAACUUAAUCACGACAAACUACUUAUUGAAAUUAAUGAUUGAAUUUGAAUUAUUAUGAGCGUUUAUAGAAAUAUUUGUGUCAGUACCAGCGAUGAGGUCUCCAACAGUUAUCUCUUUGGUUGACUAAUUGCUUUGCUAUUGAAUGCUAUUGCAACAGCUUCAGAAGACAUGGCACAUUGAGGCAGCUUAAUGGUAAUUUUGUUUUCAUUCUCCAUUGAUCUAUCCAUAUAACCUUCUGCCACAGUACUAGAUUUACAUCCUCCCAGUUUUUUGUUUGGAGUACAUUUGCACCGUUUUUGGUAAGUAACGUAGCGGCGGUUCUUCUUAGAGCCUACUCUAAGAGUACUCUAAAUUCAUAAAAGUUGCAAUUUUUUGGGAAAAAUCAGCUUUUGGGCACAAUACCAUUUGGUUGUUUCUUAGUAUUCCUCCUCUAAGCUGAACAAAAAAACUAUAGAUUUCCAUGUUUUUUCUCAAAUUCAUGUAAUCUCGAAUGAUCUUCACCCAUUCUGGAUGUGUAAUAAAAAAUGAUCUACUUGUAUGUGUUUUGGAAUAAAAGAGCACGAUUGAAAAUUUUCACUAAUUCGCCCGUCCGACAAGCUUCAUACGCCUAUUUUUAAUGCGAACUAAGACAAUAAGAAAAAUAUAAUACUGUAAUUUGUAAUUGUCGAUUGCUUAACACAUCUUUGAUUAUUUAUAAACGCAAUGUCUUUUAAUCUUUAAAGGACAAGUAUAUCAUUUAAUGGAAUAUCAUUUUCAUCGGCCCAUUUUCACAGGUUAAAACUUUUAGCUAUUUUAGGGUUCUUAACAGUUAUGUUUUGAUAAUCUAAUUCCGAUCCCUCAUGCUAGCUAACUUCAGGUUCAUCUCCAUCUGCUUCUUCCAGUGAUAACAGAUCAUGUUAGAUUUGGUUCUGCCAAAACAUUAAGCAUUCCAGCAACAUUUAAAAAAUAUAGUUAAAUGAAAAAGUAACAAACAAAAAACAUUUUUAUUUACCAUCCUUAACUGCGUCCAAAGAAAGCAGAUUAAGGCGUAAUUAGAUCUGCAGCAUAAUAUUCAAUGUCUUCAUCGUUAUCGGACAUAAUUUUGUCCCAGCACUUCUGCAAAACUUCAAAAGAGACCUUUUCCCAAGCAUUGCAUGGCAUUGCAUAAGAGUUUAACAACGUAACAACGUUGUAUUCGUUAUUUGAUAAAAUGUGGGCUAAAAGGCUUUUUCGUUAAAAUAAUUUUAUUAGUCUGAUAACAUUUUGAUCCAUAGGCUGCAUGAGUGCUGUACAAUUUGGUGGGAGGAAUAAUGUUGUAAAUCUUCCAUCUUCACCAGUUAGCUGUUCUACAGUUCCAUGACUUGAGGCAUUUACUAUGAUUAACAGCGCUUUUUCAGGCACAUUAUGACUUCUUAAAUGCCUUCUAACCUAAGGUAUAAAUGAUUGAUGAAACCAAUCUAUAAAAAUCUUUGUAGUCAUCCAUGCAUUAGCAGAGGAUUUGUAUUCAACAGGAACGUCAGCGUUUUUGAAUGCUCGUGCUUUUUUUAUCUUUCCUAUCUAUCACUACCAUCUGUAAUUUAUGUGACCCAUCUGCAUUGAAACAAUCUAAAAAUGUUACCCGUUCUUUGCUUAUUUUUCGACCUGGUGCGGUCUUGAGAACGAACCAGCGUUUUUUCCGGUUUUUUCCAGUAGAAGACCGAUUCGUCUGCGUUUUUUAUUUGAGUAGCCACAAGAUUUAAUUGUCUUACCUUCUCUUUAAAUGUAGUCAAGAAAGGAUUGACGACAAUUUGAUCAUUGGAUAGUUUCUUACCGCACACUUUUAAAGCACGCGGACUAUGCUUUUUUCGAAAGCUACAAAUCCAGCCCCUGCUAGCACUAAAAUUAUCAUUUCCAUAUGCUUCGGUAUAAAACUGUCUUGCUCUAGCAGAUAAAACUUCAUAGGAAAUUGGGACAUGCCUCGAUCUUUGUCUACAAAACCACGCAUACAAACAAGUUUCCGUUUCAGGAUAUUCAGCUUUUCGUAAAGCUUUUCUGCACCCUGGGCCAGAACCACACUGACUGAUAAAUCUAAGAAAAACUACACAAUUCUACAGCUGGUUCCUAAGAAAAUGUAUACGAUUCUUUAACUUCUUUGACAAAAAAUGAGCAGUGUAUUUUAGGGCCACUAAUAUCCUAGUAUAUUUUAUAAUAAAAUAUUGGUCAGAUGUUGAUUUAUAUACAAUAAUAAUCAAUGAUUAUUAUUGUCAAUUUGACAUAAAAUUGAUUUAAAUUUGCAAAAUGUCAAAAGUCUUCACGUCAAAUUGAUGAUGUGUUUACAUUGCUCAAAAGAAUAAAAAUCAUUUUUAGAUCGUAUGCACAUUUUUAGGAACAAGCUGUACAAAGGAAAGCACUAAAAUUGUUUUAAAAUCAAUCCUACCUGUAGAUUUUAGACUUUUUCUGUUUUAUGUCAUAGAUUGUAGAUCUUUCAACCCCAUAAUCAGCGGUCAACACUUUUCCACUUUCUCCCUUGUUAAGUCUUUCAAUAAUUUCUCUUUUUUUGUUUUAUGGACAAUGUCUUGUGUUUUCUUUUAGGGGGCAUUUUUAUUUAAGUAAAUAUCAAAAUAAAACUUAUAUCACCUAAAAUUAUUACAUUACACACAUCCCAACAAAGUAUGUAAAUAUCAUUGCUCAAAAGCAUAGAAAAGCAGUACACCUGUUUAAUGUGAGUCCCAGAUAUAAACAAAAGGGUAAUUGGGGGAAUCCCUGAACAUCUAGUCAUAAUUUCUGUAGGAAAUAGGCCUAAAAGUAUAGGUUCGGAUUAUCGAGUACUAUGAAAUUCGGAUUAGAGAGUAUUCAAUUGAAAAUGCUUGUUCGAACUACCGAAGAACUCGGACUAUUAUUAUAAAUGUUCGAAUUAUCGAGUCUGCACUGUACCAUAAUAACUGUGCACGUAUAUGAGCUCAAACAUGAUUUUUUUUAAUACUUAGUUAAAGAUCAUAAAUAUAUUACCUUUAUCGGUAGAAAUUCAUUUGAAGCUUUGUUUAAAAAAUCCAACAUAUUUUUUCUGGAAAAUACGUUCGAUUUCUUGAGCCUGAAGCCCACAUUUUUUUGGUUUUAGGAAGGUAAACAGUUGCCCAUGUUUCUAAAUAUUAGUUUUCUAUUCAAUUUGUAGCAUAAUUCGAAACAUACUUUAUAUUGUCCACAAAGUGGACGCCUCCCUUUGUCUUGUUUAUUCUCGAAAAUAUGCUAAGAGUACACUUUCAAAACCGGUACUCUUCACUUUUUUCUACGCACCACUUCUUAUAUAAUUCAAUAGCUUUUGGGUAGGGAUACUCAAUUUUUUUCUGGCACCAGCCCUUCUGCUGCUGCUGGAGAGGUAAAAUCCAUCAAUUCUUCAUCGGAAGACAUUUUUCUCAAUUUCUUAUUCGCGAACUUAAUAUCCAUCCGACUUUAUCUAACCUGCGUGUUUAUUCUGCGAAAAAUGUCUCGUCAUUUUUUGUUAAAUUUUAGGUUUAUCCAGAAUGAGGCAAGGACAAUGUUGAUCGAAAUAUGAUGGUUGUGAAUAGAAUAGUAUACAUACCUCGAUAGGAAGCUUCAUUUCUAUCUCGAGAUCAUAGCUAACCUCUAGACACACUUUCGGUUGUGUAAAUCUUUACUUUACGCACUAGUUUGUGAAAAAACAUACUUUAAGCAGUUGUGCGUAAAAAACGUAUUAUUAAGGUCUCCCUUGUGUAGUGGCUAGAGUACAUGUAAGGCACUGAUGUUAUUUUUUAUUUUUAUUUAUGUUGUAAAAAUUAUAUAUACAUAACAUGCCGAAGGGAAGAAUUGACAGUUAUUUAAUAAAACAAAUCGUCUGUUGUUUCGUUAAUGUGAGUAAGAUGUUUAAAAUAUUGAUAUAAUAAUAAUUAGAGGAUACAAUUAAAACAUUGGAAUUAAACAAAGCAGAAGGACCAAACGACAUCGUCAAUGAGAUAGUGAAAUUUGGUGAAAAUUAACUACUGAAUAAAUUUCAUCAAUUGAUAGAACUAGUUUGGAAAAACAAACAAAUGCAAUAUGGACGGAAUAUUGGAGCCAUUUGGCCCAUAUUCACAAAAGGAAACCCAAAAAUGUGCGCUAAUUACAGAUCUGUCACCUACUACAAGAUUUUCACUUCCAUCGUUUAUACAAGAUUAAAAAAGUAUAAGGAAUCGAAUCUUGGAGAACGUCAAUAUAGAUUUAGUCCCGGGAGAUUAACAAUAGAUGCAUCAUUCAUAUUUUAAAUCAAAUUAUAGGAAAAUGUAACGAUCAAGAUAUGAAUAUCCACAUUUUAUUUAUAGACUUUCAACAAGCUUGAAUGUCAGAAUUGCACGUUCCAAAAACAUUAAUAAGCUGACAGGUACAAAUAUUACUGAAUAUGUCCAAAUAUUAGCAUACUCAGAUGAUCUGGCGAUGAUAACGAGAAGUGUAAAGAAUCUAAAGGAAACAACCGUAAUGAACGGGGAGAGGAUCCAAGCAGGCAACCGAGCGUAUCAUAAAUUCCGGCUUCUAAUUCUAUACAAAAAAAUCAGUAGACUACUAAAACGAAAAUAUAUAGAACAGCAAUAAGGUCAACAGUAAUAACCCAUGGAGGAGCAACGAUGAAUCUAACAAAAUUUGAUGACGAAAAACUUAACAACUUCGAAAGAAAAAUGAUAAGAAGAAUAUAUGGGCAAAAAAAGUUAAGGACAAUAUAGAAUCCUAAUGAACACUGAAAUUAGAGCGGAUACUAUCACCAGAUAUACAAUCGCAGCGAAUACAUCGGCUAGGACACAUAAAACGUAUGAAAAAUAAUAGUGAAGUUAAAAAAAAUGGAAACUUUUAGGAAAUUGGUCCAAAGGAAGACCAAAAAUCCAAUGGGAAAGUCAAGUAACAAGUGAUCUACCAAAACAAUGAUCUUUAGAAGAAGAAGAAGAAAAUGAUUUGAACGUGGAUUGACUCACGACAAUAAAUGACUCAAAGAGCUCUUGAUUGAGCGGUUAUUAUUCCUAUUGGAUUGUACAACUGAAUAUACAGAGUGAGUUUUAUGUAUGGAACGCCUGAAUUAUCUCAAAAACGGCUUGUACGAGUUUUAUAAAUUUUUGUGCGGUACGGCCGGUAUUAUGGUGGUAUCUACAUUUUUGUCUAUACCUAAAUGCCAUAAUUUCGAAGUUACAGCUAUAUUUACAGUAUCUUCAAUAAAGUUACAAUAAAUAUUGUAUAUUUAAAUGGCUUCGAUUCAAUAAUCUUCUUUAAUUUGAUUAUUCUUAAAUUUUUUUCAACUAUUAUUUUUUAGACUGGAUUUGUCCUUCGUCAAUUACCUUUUUCGAAUGAUUAAUAAUCAUUACACGUGAAUAUUAUACAUUAUACUCAAUUUACCACUAUUAAGGAAAAAGCACAAUAUACUAUUAAUCUUUUUAAUUAUUUUAUAAUUUAAUUAUAAUUACAAUUGAUAAUUCUAUUACUUAGGUUAUUAAAAGUUACAAGUGUCAUUUUUUCACUCUCCAUGUAGUACUUUCUGUGGUGAUUGAUCUGGUUAAGCAGUCACAAGAGGGUAAACCACUCGAUUAAUUCUAAUGGUGCCUGCCGUGUGAGGGUGUCUGUGGAUUCUGAUCUUGAACUUCUGUAGGUUGUAGUGUUCUGGCAAGACGUGCCUUGGUAGCUGAUUUCACAGACUUGCACUUCUCCAAAUUGACGUUCUGGGCGUCUUACAAAAACUGCUCUAGAUGGAAUUAUGCUGGACAGCGCAUUUGUCGUGGUAGUAUCGCUAAAGCAGAGUCAGGUCAGCGACCUUUUUUCUAUACUCUAAGAAGUCCAGAAUAUCUGGUCAACUCUGUCUCACCUAUAAGUCGAAUUGUACUUUUCUGUAUUGAAUCGAGAUCCUAAGGUCAUGCUUGUAAGCCCAGCUCCAAAUGUACGAGAAAUACUCCAUGGCAUGUUAAACCCUGUCAAAAGCCUUCGACAUAUAAUAUUAGCAAAUUCAAGACAUCUUAAGAUUUACUGGUUAACGACUUUCUCCAUGACCUUGGCAAUAGCUGGUACUAAAGCAAUAUGACGGGGAUCGACUUUUGUAAUUUUUUCUUGGAUGGGUUGAACCCGAGCAUGUUUCCAAUUUGCAGUUAUAUAUUGUUAUUUCUUAUGAUUCAUUCCAUUAAUUUUUUUGUCGUCAAAGCUUGUUAUUUAAGUUCUCAGCUUGUACAACAGCUUCUAAUAACAGCUUCGAUACCGUCACAAAUUCUAGUCUAUGAUUUUUUUAUAGUUGCAGAUAAAAUGUUUAUAUUAUUGUUUUCAUAUUGUAGAACAGUUGAUUUAUUUUAACGAUUGUAACAAAUUUGUUAGUUUUGUAGCUUCUUUCAUGCUUGGGUUUAACAAUUCUAAUUCAAUGUCAAUACCAUUGUCCAUUUCAUAUCUAUUCAAUAAAAUAACAUUGAACAAAUUAAUGAAAAUUUCAUUCAAAAUUCCGUCACUACAACCUAGUAAUAAAGUUUCUAAAAAAUUUUUCAUAGCAAUGCACUAAUGAAACUGCUCAUUUAUUUAGUUGAUUGUACAUUUUAUCUUGUUUAUAUAAAGACGUAUGCUAUUCUCUUCUUGAACGAAGAAACCUUGAGGGAAUAGAAAAGCAUCAAAGUAAAUAGACGCUUCGUUGUGAGGUACGUUAAUUAUAAAACUGGCCUACUUUGUGUAAUAUGUAAAGCUUAAUUCACUGACCUAAUCAGAAAAAGCAUGGAGAGUCCUGGUACUCGGUUUCUAAUGAGCUAGCUAAGCAAUAUGUAUUUUUCUUUGGUAAUUAUCUUUUGUUUUAUUUGAUCAAAUUCGCAUUAUAUACAAAAUGCAUCUGAAAUCUACAGUUCACGAAAAACAUAAAAAGUUUAUGAUUAGUUGAGAUAUAGAAAAUGAUAUUUUGAGGAUAUUCCUUUAUCUACAAAAAUUGCGAACCAACUAAUUUCACACAAAACUAACCUAGCUCCAAUUUACAAUACAGGUGUUUUUAGUGAUUUCCUAUGGUAAUUAAACACUGCUACUCAUUUUUACAUUAAACAGCCGAAAAAUCCACUAACAAAAAGUAAAAUUGUUAUAAAUCUUCAUAUCAGCUAUUUAUAAAAAAUCUGAAAGCUGCUGAAUUUCUCGGAUAAUGAAGGGAAACCUCUGCAUGAAUCGAUCUACACUAAUUGCUUCGAAGCUACAUUUCUUAUCCGUGGUAUAUAUGCAUUAAUUCUCCUAAUUGACAACUUGAGAGCAAACUACGUAUAGUUAGAUGAUGGUGAGAAAGUAUAAGUCUUUGGGUUCAAUACUCCAAUAUUCCCAUAAUGCACUUUUUGUGGACUCUAUCCUGGAUGUCAUCCUUUUAAUUUAUAUAUUGUACCCCAAUUCUUGAGUCAUAAAUCGUUUUUAUUAUAUUUCCUCUCUCCUCACGCUCCUCAAUCAUUCAAAAAAGUUCUGAUGUGUUCACAAUGUUCCAUAAUAUUUCCUAACAUUCAAGUUCUAUAAUGAUCUAAGAUAUUCACAACGUUGCAGAAUGUUUUAACGAAACUUCAAGCAUAAGAACACACCCCCUGGGUUAAAACUGGCUAGGAGAUGGUUACCAGACUAUAUCACUUCCUUGACCUUACCAGGAUUCAUUUAAGCUAGCCAAAGAAUAAAUACAAAUGGUAAAUUUAUCCUCGAUAUCAGCAGUGGUAAGAGAGUGGAAUAAAUUUAAUUUGAGUUGAGAAAAAUCAAUUAGAGAGUAUCUCGUAACUGUCAACGACUGUACUUGUAUUCAUAAAUCAAAUUCAGCAUUUCAAUUUUUGAGUUAUAAAUUGAAUCAUUAUUUGUCGAAACUUGUUCGUGUCAAAAACUAAACUUGACGUGUAUGGCGUUUUGCGGAUGCUCUAGUUAAUUAAUAAAGUGUGCAAACUAUAAUUGUAUUAUAAAAACUUGAAGUUGAUAAAUAAAUAUAAUCAUAGAAGAGAAUUACGAAGCAUUUAAAAAAAUUUACUACUUAUGUUGUGAACUCUGCUAUGAAAUAAAAACCAGGUAAGCCAGUGUUCAUCGUAACAGGAAGAGAUUGCUCAUAGAUCACAACAGGUAUAUUUGUCUUCUUUCAUCUCAUUCAAAAAUGAGUUAGAAAAGUUUAUUUCUAGCACAGAUCCUGAUAAUGAUUCUUUAAGACAAAAUAUUUCUGUUCAAUUACCGAAAAAGUUAUCUAGAGUGUCUUAAAAAUGAGAAAAAAAUCUUCUUAUUCUCCUUCAUCGUACGUUAGGAGUUAGUCCUGUGUAUGCAUCAAUGGUUGCCUAGCUGCUGCUGGGAUAAUGAAGACCAGCUUUCAUACCAUCUUGUAGGUGGUCGUCCUGGUGGUCCUGGAUGUAUUCGGUUUUCUUCCUUUGCAAUCUGACAUUCUGUGAUCGCGUUCGCGUUUCAGUGGUUCUUAAAAGUCGCUUAGUUAUGUUGACCUUUCAGUUCAUUCUUUAGAUUUCUAUUACUUGUUAUGUUCGUUCCUAGAUAUAUAAAUGACUUCACUUGUUCUACACCAUGAUCGUUUAUUGCGAGUUUACAUCUUCUCGGUUCUCUGGAUUCUGUAAAAGAUUUGGUUUUCUUCAGGGAUAUUUGCACGUUAAAAGCUUUCGCUAUUUGUUCAAACCUAUACAGUAGCCUUUGUAAGUUAUCUUCGUCUUCUGAGAUGAUCACUGCGUCAUCAGCAUAACAUACUAUUUUCAAUUCUUUGUUUCUCAUCCGUUAUCCUCUUCCAGCUUGCUUUACCUCGUUUAUAAUCUCCAUUAUGAUGCUUAACAAGCUCGGACUGACUGAGGCUGUCUCCAUAUCUGAUACCGGACGUCACAGGUAUUCUACUACUCAGUUUAUUUUUCAAUCUGAUAUAUGUGUAAUUAUCGCUGUUCAAGUCUUCGAUUACUUUUAUUAUGUUGGGGUGAAUCUUCUGAAAUAAAAUCUAAUUACAUAAAACUUUCAGUUGGAAAAUUCAAUAGAUCAAUAAUAAUAAUUUUUGUUAACGUAUCAUCGCUGAAAAACAGCAAAUAAUUUUUUAAACGCCCCAUUGGCUUUUCUCAUACUGUAUACGUGUAUGCGCGAAGGAAGCACAUUGUUAAAAUGUGAAUAAACAUAUAAAAAAACAAAAUUUAGGUUAUUUUGCUUGAUAUAGUUGAAAUUAUCUAUGAAAAGUUCAAAAUUAUAACAUUUCGAUUUUUCAGGUAUAUUAUUUGAUUCAAAAAAAUUGUCGGCAAUUUUCAAUCUUAAAAAAAUCAUAACAAUUAAUAGGUUGGAGAAACGGUAGUGGCUGCGAGGAUUUUUUUCAUUCGAAAUAUUAUAAAGAAUAAAAAAAAUUAAAUGUUCGCAAAAAAUACAUUUUUUCUGGUUUAUUUAGUUUUUCGUUGAUUAAACAAUAACAUCAAAAUAUAUCAAGUUUCAUCAUACACUUUUAUGAUCAGGAACACCUCCCGGACUUCUUUAAAAAAAACUACGAAUUAAAAUAAUUUUUCAAAUAAAUGCGCCACUGAACUCCGGUCUAUAUGCAUAAUCUACGGAUUACUAGAGAAUAUAGACAAGUAAUGACAGUUCUUAGUGGAUUGAGUAAUAUUAACAACUCGAUGGAAUGUCAUUUCAAGAUUCAAUGUUACGAACUCUUCCACGACAUAGACCAUGAAUCCGGUCCUGUCUGCUUAUAAUGGAAGUCUAAAAUAUGGGGCAUACGUAGAUUCGUUUGAUUUUGUUUUUUAUACAUAUUUCUAUAAUAUCGGCGUCUUUGAUAUGUUUUUUCAUAAGCAGCAGAGAUUUGUUUGUUUCUCGUGCAAGAUAUUUAUCUGAUACAUCUGAUACAUAAAAAACCAAAGGCCGCAUACAAUAAUUUUAAGGAUUGCAAUUGAGCUUUCUCUGGAAAUGAGUGGAAAUAUGAAACUGCAAGGGUCCAGAAAACGCCUGUCCUAAUGCCUUCGACAAAAAGCCUUAAUUUUGGUUUUUCCAGAUUGCUAAACAUUUUUAAAUCUUUGCACCGCUCAGCUCAGGUGGGAAUAUACAAUUCGUUUCCAGCAGCAUCUGGUGAAUGUCCAAUUUAUCAUAUUUUUUAUAUGAAUUCCUGCUUUUGCAUUACAGCAACUGAUCCAGCAUGUUUCACUUUCGAAUUCCGAGAGAUUUCAUAAAAGUAAUAAACUAGUGGAAUGUGAAUUAUUAUUUUUAUUAAAGGUAUGGAAACAAGUCCACGGAACAUAAAGUUUUCGGUUUACAAAUAAACAUUUUCACCCAUUCACAAUGUUUUUCUGGGAACGGGAAGAAUGAGCCCGUAUAGCACAAGAUGUUAUGUGUCGGAAUUGUAGAUUCAACGAGAAAAUAUGUUUGAUGUUCCAUUAUAAUUCCGUGAUGGAAAAAUUUCUCUUAUUUAAGUAAAUCAAUAAAAUUGAUGAGUAAAUAAGGAAAACACGCUAAUAUAACCUACCCAUUGUACAAUUUCGGCGAAGUUAACUUCAUAUCAGUUUGAACUUUAUCUUUUCCUUGUUAAAAUUCACCCUGAAUCAACUUUUAGGGUUUCCAUAAUAGAAGAUCUUAAAAUAGUUAAUUACCAAGCAAAGACUCUCUCAUCUCUUCGAUAUUAAAAUCGUAAAAUAUGCAUUAAUUCCGAAGAGCAAAGUUUUACGAAGAGGAGUCCGUGUGAUAAAAUCAGAGAAAAUAAUAAAAUUGUGAGUCGGAUCUCGUGAUAUUAACGUGAAGAUCAAGAGAGGGAAAGUAUGAAAUAUUUUUACGCGUAAUGAUUAAGGUUCGAUGGGUAAACUUUUGUUUCCUGUAUUGCGUUGAAGUAGGUUGACACUAAGAAGAUGAAAAUUUGAUAAUACUGCUUUUUAAAUUGGAGCUAUUAUGAUGGAUCUAGCAGUUUACUCACACUUUUUUAUAAUACGUUUUAAUUUAUGUUCUAAUCAUUGUUUAAUCACAUAUCAAACAUAAUUUGUACGAAAAAAUGUUCAGUCUAUCAGCUUCACUAUAUUAACUUUUUCAAUGUAGGCGAUGCAUUUUAUAUCACAUAUCUGUGAGGACUAUUCAUAAUUUUAGAAUGAAAAUGAUGAGUUCUAAUAAUUUCUGAGAAAAUUUUAUUUGAAAUUCAUAGUUUCACUCAAGUAUAUACCAUUCUUCUAUUUCUACCCCAUAUAGGAGCCCCCAGAGCUGAACGACGGGGCUCAGCUUGAGCCAACGAUGAGAAACCUGGACUUGGCUAAUCAAUAAUGGUCCAAGCCUGGUUGGUGUCUGGAUAACUUAGUUCCGGCCAUUCUAUAGUCAGUCAAGCCUCGCUGAACUCUAUAUAACCUUACCUCGGCUAUAACAUAUUCAUCCAAGUCUCGGUGAACUCAAGGUAACCCCACCUCGACCAUCCUAUAGUCACCCAAAACGGACUGAACUCUGAAUAACUAUAUAAAUUUGUUCUAAUAUCUUAUCUAUUAUAGAUAUCUUAACAUUAAAAGUAAUAAUUUUUUAUGAACAAAAUUUUCUCAUGCCUAGAAGACACAAAAAAAUUGGAUAAUAAAAAAUAGUAUCAUUUCUUUAUAUAUUUAAUUAUUUAUUGACAUUUUUAUGUGAAUUGAUAAGUAGAGUGCAAUAAUUGAAAUUUGUCAUGAAACUAUGAUUUUAUUAACAUUAUAUUGAAAAUAUUUUUAUAAGCAACCAGGGUUGCAGAACAGUCUUGGGUUCAUCUAUGCAACCAAGCCUGUUCCAGGCUUGCAAACCAAGCGAGGGACAUUGUUAUCAUCCCAGGAUUCCACCAAGUCUGGGCCAAUAAUAGCUUCCAAGCUAGGGUCAGAGUUGUACAUGCUUGACCCAAGUCUGGGCCUAUGCUCGGCCCAUCAUAAAAUCCUAUAUGGGACAUCAGUUCUGCGGGACGUGUGUCAUUUUUUUUUUCAUAUCUUCUAAUUUUCUAUAUACAUAUAUGUUUCUAGAUGUUCUAGAUGUCAGGUUUAUGACCUAAAGAUAAAACUUCUUUCACUUUCACUACAUCUGGUAUGGAUCGAGUUUUAUCUUUAGGUCCCAAUUUUGCACAAAUAUUUCUUGUGACAAAGAAAUCAGAAUCAUACAAUAAUAAAAUGAUGAAAUCAUUAAACGAUGAUACAACUUACAAAAAAAUUAAACAAGACCCUACGAAUUCGUAUCAAAAACAAAAUAAUAAUCUAAUUCGAUCUGGGAAGAACAACUUCCUAUUUUACCAUCAUAUGCAAGAAAAUUGAUAAUUCACAAUGCCUUAGCUCCUAAAAUAUAUUGUUUACCAAAGUUGGCUGAUUGUUUCAAGUAUUCAAACUCCUCUUAUCUUAUCAUAUCUAAUUAUUUGAAAAAUAUUUUGAAAAAAACUUUAUACCAAAAAAAAUUACUAUUUCAAAAACAUUUAGGAUUUCUAAGAAAAGAUUAAAAUCAAAAUUCCUAACGAAUAUGCAUUUAUUUCAUUAGAUGUGGUUUCUUUAAAUAUAAAUAUUCCUAUUAACAUUGUGAAAAAUAUAUUAAUAAAAAAUGAGACAAAAUUAAAGAAUAUACAGAAAUACCUCAAAACGAAUUAAUAAAAGCUAUAGAACUCACACUUAUAUCUAUAUAUAUUAGGUCUUUUUGAAUUUAAAAUUAGUUUCUUUUAUAAUUUUUUGGAGAUAGAUGAAAAGGGGCCAAAGAAGUUUUGACGAGCAUUCAAGAUUUCUAUACUAUAAAUCGAACCUACAAAUUAAACUCUGUGUUAAGACUUGGUGGAUUUAACGUAUUCAAAUGAUUAAGGACAGAGUGGACACGUACUACGAGGGCUGCUACUUAAGCUUUGAGAUUUAAUUGAUAUUUUGAAAAAGGCUAAAAGAAGUAAAAACGUUAAAUUUUCAUCUGUCUUAAGCAAAUUAUCUAAUUCAAAGUUUUCAAGGUUUUUAUCGACACAUGUGUAUUGUUCUUUAGAUGUACCAGUGAAGAAAGUCCAUCAAUUUGUAAAUCCACCGUUUCUCCGCAUUUUGUUUUCGUUUCCUCUCGAAUUUAUAGGUUCCUGUCAAUCAUCCUCUUGUAACUUUCUUUUAUGUCAUGUAAACCAUUGAGUUGAGUUUUUACACCCUAAAUUCUAAAAUUUUAUUCUAGAUAAAAAUUGACGAAACGUCAAUUUUUAUCUAUUUCUUAAAAAUUAUUAAGAAAACUAAUUUUAAAACAGAAGAGACCUAAAAUCUAAAACAUGGUGGUUGCACUACUUAAUCUUUCGAGUAACUAUAAUUAUAAUUGUAAGAGAACAAACUCCUACCAUCGAACCUUAAGAGAAAAUCGAUGGGAAAGGGUUAAGAAUUUUUAUGCGUAACGUUUAAUUUCCCUCUUGAAAACGUGAAUACCUACUGUGAUUCCUUAGAAAGAAUUCGUUCAAGUAAUAAUAUAAAACGGAGAGAUAAAGUUACUGCUCACUAUAAGGGUGAUUUUAAAAUACGAAACGAAAGAGAAACACUCUCGAAAAUUUGUGCGUUAAAAAUCAUGUUGGAACCCUACGUGCAAUGAAUAUAUAAAUUCCAAUUUCUUAGAAAUUCAAUCUUUUGGUGGUAAUUAUGAGAAUUUUGAUACAAGAUGUAAUUGAAUUUAUUCCAAGCAGAAUACUAGAUAUGAGGUUUGAGAAAAAUAAGAGUAAUUGUAUAUUUGUAACAGCAAUUAUCAAAUGUGUUGUUUAUAUAACAUUAAGGUGUGGAAGUGCAAUAACUUACUUAAAAUGAAAUUUAAAAAGAAAAUAUUUAAAUAAAAGUUGUUAUAUUUGCACAGAUACACAUUUCUAAAAUAUUUUGGGGUAUACAGGGUGUUUAGCCUAAGCGUGACAACAUGAAGUUAAGUUUUUUUAAAUACAGCGUAAUUUAGCGUGAAAUUCUGCAUCUAGCCCUGUCACUUUUUUUCUCAUAAAUUGUAACGUUACCAAGUUGGAGCGAAAAAUAUGAAGAUUUGACAAAAAUUGGUUAGGUUGGCUUAGUAAACGUUAUAAUUGAGAAGUAACUAAACUUGUUUGGUAAGUAAGAAGGUAAAGGAUUGGUGAAAUGUUUGAACAGAAUAGAAGUUUCAUUUGAGGUUCGGGGUGUUUUUUAGAUAAGCAUCAAUUCAGGAGAUUUCAAUUAUCAAAAACUUCAUUUUUUAAAUGGAACACCCAGUAUAUUAUUUCACCAUUUCAUAAAACUAUUUUAUCCCUUCAAAUUAUGUCUGAUAAUGUACACUCUAAAAUUGACUGUUUUCAAAAAAUGCAUUUUUAGUUUAUGAUUUGAAAAUAAUCACCUUUUUGACUAGUAAACACUGAAUGUAACGUUUAAAAUACUUCUAGUUUUUGUGACAAAAUCAAACCAGUAAUUUUGUACCUUCAAAAACUGUAAAUUUUUGUUUUUAUAUUUGAUCUAGUAAGCUAUUGCACUUCCACACACUAAUAGGCCACCCAGUAUUGUAAGAUAAUUAACUUUCAAAGGAAAUUAUUGUUUUUUUCAUUAUAGUUUUAUAAUCCAUAGAGAUACAAAAUUAGUACAGUGGCAAACUGCAAAAAAGUGGCAAUCAAUGAUAGAAGCAUGAAAAUUGGUAUGUUGGGCAAUGAUGCCAAAAAAAUUCCAUGAAUGUAUAUAAUAUGUAUGUAGGUAAUAUUUUUCGACCAUUCUCCUACCAUUCCUUCUUCAAGAAAAAUAUUACCUACAUACAUCUUAUUUAUAUUCAGGGAAUUUAUUUCAUUCCAAUGCAAUGUCUCGAGCUUUUAAACUUUUGGAUGGACGCAUGGGUCAAUUUUCUGAAAGGGAGGGGAAUAGAUUUGAAUAAACGUUUGUUUUCCCCGCGCCCCAGCAAAGUGGUCAAAAGGAUUUCGCUUCUACACCUCCACAAUGAAUUAUUGUUUCAAGAACAGGUUAUUACGAUGAAAAUUUUGAAAUCGAUUCCAAUACUGAAGAAUCGUCGAAUAUGCUCUGAAGAAAAAAAAACAAAAAUUGUGACUUUUUAAAUGCUAAACUAAAAUCCUCGGAACUAGUCAACUUGCGGUACCUCCUGUUUCCCCCCACCUCGACAUAUCGACCUCAUAUAAACUUAAAAAUGUCAUAUUUGACCUCUACCACUAGAAUAUCGUAUUGAAAAUUCGAUCCUGAAAAAUGUAUGCGGUCUAUUGAAGAAAAACCGCAAUUUUGACGUAUUUUUCACAAAAAUUGGAAAAUGGGGAAAUUUUCAAUUUGAAAUUUGGUGCAUUUUUCGAGGUCGCAUCUUGUAAGUAAUGACAUAUUCAUGUUCAGGGGGGUCAAAAUAUGUAAAAUCGACCCGUCAAAAUUAUUCACCCCACUUUUUCACGGGGGGCUCCCGAUCUCAAAAAUUUUCUUUUGGCAUCACUGCCCAACUUACCAAUACUCAUGCUUCUAUCAUCAAUUGUCACUUUUUUUUCAAAAUUCACUGUUUACCACUGCACUAAAUAAACUAUUUGCAAACACAGUAGUCAACUGUCAUUAGUAGACUAUUCCAGACUAAAAUUAGGCAAACGAAUGAACUGAGUAUGGUAACAAUGUGGUAACUUUCCAACUAGUGGUUGAAAACUGGAGAGAAAUCAGUUGAGGACGAGAAAUGGUCGAAACGUCGAGUUCAGAACCUGAUCAGGAGAUUGCGAUAAAAUUUCACAUUUUUCACAGUCACAGUCACGAAACCCUGAUGAAAACUGAAAUUCACACAGCUCAACAAAUGUUUUUUCCUUUUGUUUCAUUUGCAAAGAAUUUAUUUUCUUUCAUGGUUUUUCCUUUGGAAUUUCGUUUUUCGGAAAAAUAACGGAUGGUGUUAAAAAAGAGCUCAGUUCAUUCUGGUACCCUGUUUAAACCAAACUCCCUUACAGGCAGGUACAUUUUACUCGUCUAUUUAGUUAACGAGGUAUAAAAAUUAUUUUCUCCUAGCUUCCAAGUAGGACUACAAUUAAGUGCAUCUUUCUAAAUAACGGCAUCCAAUUUAUAAUGAUUCGAUAGUGUUUUAACGAAUACUUUCUCGCAUAAGAUAAACAUAGUUUCAAAAGUAUUUAUAAAAAUAAUAAAUUUAUAAAGGAGGUACCUACGCCUAAGGUCGAUCAAACAAAAUUGUCGGAAAGGCUUUUUUUAGUCUGCAAAUGAUAUUGAAACAUUAGAAGUUUAAACAUACAGGCAUAGGCAAGGCAUUCAUUUAAUUACAUUCAACAUCGAUUUUACAUUGGUUCGGUUCAGAUGUGUGCUUCUUUUAUCUUCAAAAAUAAGACUAAAAUAGAAUCACCUCCCAACGGGUUGGUAAUUCGUUAACAAUUGCCGGCAAUAAAUUAUUGCACUUAGAUUGAAUAAAUUGGUCGGUCGGUACGGUUAACUCGAAAUUAAAAGUAACGUGUUUUGUGCCACACAAAUACGUGCAAGAGGUCAAUUUACUACAACUUCCUUCCAUUCUGUGUUCUCCAUUACUUCCGCUUCACUUGUUCUCGUUAUAUUUUUUCAACGGCGAUUAAGUGAUAUAUUCCUGUGAAUACACUUGGUUACAAAUACAAUGGAUCGCGUAAUCUUGAACUAUUUUUUCAUCUUAUGUUCUCUGCAUUUCCAGUUUCUUAUCCCUCAAAUAGGCACGCAUCAAAAAUACAAUUAGGCGUAUUUUAUGUGACUAUUCUUCUUUAAACUCUAAAUAAGUGCUCAAUCGAUAAUAGAAUUUAUCAAAAUCAUCAGUUGUAUAACAUUUUUCCGACGAUUGCUGUUUGCUUUCAGGAUCGUGGAAUUAAUUAUAACUACAACUUUUCUCCCACAACGAUUACAACGACAAAUGUUAUGGGGCUAUGUGGAAUAUGUGAUUGGUCCAUUUUUCUGAAAUUGCAGAGUAUUAUUUUUUGCCCGAAAACAAGCUGUUUUUACUUAUGGUGUUUCUCCGGUCUUCGAAAAAUGUUUCGUAAUAGAAUUCAAACGAUGCUUUCCAAUGAUACUGAACUGUGUAAUCAUUCGAUAAAGCAUGCAAGUAUGAGAAUUAUGACGUAUAGAACUCGUUUUCCAAAAAAAAUGGAGUCUGCCGCUUUUGAUAUUAGUACCCUCAAAUGUAUGUGGAGCACUCAGGUAGUAAAAUUCUUACGUUUCAAGAAAUAAAUUACUUAAAAGCAUAUAUUGUUGUUAACAUGAAAAAUACACCAACAUUUUACACACAGAAACAGUUAAAGUUAAUAUGGUUGAUUCUUGUACGCGGCUGGACUUAAUCAUUUUGAUAGAAUUGCUAAUUAUUUUCCUCUUCACUGUGAAUUUGAACUAUUACGAUAUACCAAUGAAAAAAUCCCCCCAUACGUGUGUUGUACGCGUGAAUAAAAUCACGAGCGCUUUGUGUUUUUGCCUCGCCUGCCUUUUGUCAAACAAACGCCUGAAACACAUUAACAAUGUUUGUUGUAGGUGGCUUUGCCACGGGCUAUCUCGAUACUCAACAACGUAUAACUUAUUUUCAAUUGUUCAUCAAAGUUACUAUGAUUAAAAUAUUUUUUCUACUUCGGGGAUAUACUAUGAAAAGAGAAUGGAUCGGGCAUGUCUUAGGAACGUCCCUUCUUUGAAGUAUUUACUAUUUUAGAAAACUGUUAAUAUUUGUUUUUAAAUGUUGAAGGUCAGUGACUGGUAUUUGUAGAAAAAGAUAGUUAUCAUUUUCCACAAUAUACAAAUAUCAAAUAUGAAUGUUUAUUUAGAAAAUUACAGAAAUAAUUAUAAUUAAUAUUAAUAUAAUUAAUAUUAAUAUUGAUUAUUUGCAAAAUAUCAGUGAGUAAUGUCAAUGACAAGUAACAUUAGGAAUCAGUCUACUUACUUAGUUUUAACUAUAGUUUCUAAUAAUAUUAAUUAUAAUUAUUGUGAUAAUAGUGAGAUGUUAACUCUGGAAAAAGUCAAAAAUAUCAACUUGCGACCUCAUGAAAUUUUAAUCUUCUAUUUUGCUGUAGACUUCGUCCUUGACGUCUCGAUUUAGACUAUAUCUUGGUAAUUAUACUUCACAGUGUAUACUGUUAUUUUAAAAGUGGUUGAAAUUAGCCAUGAAUUUCUAGAUUUUGGAGUUUUUUAAUAUAAUUUCGUGCUUCGGAUGCAGCUUGAUUGGAACUACUUGCGAUACUGUAAUUUCUUACUUAACAGUUUUCUCAGUGUACCGUAUCCCGUUUAUAAUUAUAUUUGAACUUUGCAGGUGGUUAGAUCAUUAUUAAGAAUUGGGUAAAUCCUAAAAUGAGUCUUAGGAGUGUGGAUUAAAUGUUAAGUACAAGUAUUUAAACUAUUAAGAGUAUCAAGUUGCUGGUUACGCAAACUAGUGAUUUGGAAAAUUCAAUUGUUAUUGUUGAUGAUGAUGUUAAUCAUUCAUUAAAAGUAUAUUCUGAGAAUAUAUUCCAAAUAACCAUUUUCAAAUUUUCAUUUCAUAUAUAGCAAAGAGCUCGGUAUUGGGAAGGUCUAGCUCGGAUUAGGUUAUAGUUUGAAUUAGCUCUAAUAAGACAUUUUCCUCUUCUUACGUUAGGACUAGGUGCUGUAUUUUCAUCAAGGGUUUGGCAGGAGUAGUUGGGAUGCUGAGAACCAUCUUUCAUACCACCUUAUAGGUGAUCGUCCACUGUUGUGUCUGGUUUCUUUUCCUUUGCAAUUUUUGCUAACCGUUCAUUUGACAUUCUGUCAACAUGGUCUCUCCAUUAUCUUUUGCGGCUCCUUGCCCAUCUUACUACAUCCUGAAUAUCGCACAUGUCCCUUAUUUCUUCAUUUUUCUUCCGAUCGAGUAACGUACGUCAUGUUAUUUAUCUCAGAGUCCGCAUUUCUGUUGUUCUUAGGAGCCGUUUAGUGGUUGUGUUCUCCGCUUUAGUUUCUAUUGCAUAUGUCAUGACCGGCCUUACGUAAGUUUUAUAUAUUCUAAUUUUACAUUUUGUGCUCAUGUAUUUAUUUGGCCAAAUUAAAUUUCUAAGGUAUCCUGAUAUUAAUUAUUAAUUAAUAUCGUUGUUUGUGCUUUUACUUCUUUCUUUAGAUUUCUAUCGCUUGUUAUGUUUGUCUCUAGAUAUUUGAAGGACAUCCUUGUUCUACACUCUGAUCGUAGAUCGCUAGUUUACAUCUUCUCUGUUCUUUAGAUAUUAUCAGAGAUUUUGUUUUUUUAUGGAUAUUUGCAUGUUGUACGUGUUCGCUAUUUGUUGGAAUUUAUAUAGGAGCUUCUGUAGGUUAUCUUCGUCUUCCGAGAUAAUUACUGCAUCAUCAGCAUAGCAUAUUAUUUUUAUCUCUUUGCCUCCCAUUCGGUAUCCUCUUCCGGCUUGCUUUACUUCGUUGAUGAUUUCGUCCAUUAUAAUAUUGAACAGGAUUGGGCUAGGCUCUCCCCUUGUCUGCUACCAGUUGCCACAGGUAUUUUAUUGCCUAAUUUGUUUGCCGUUCUCACAAAGGUAUAAUUAUCGGUGUUAAGUUUUUCGAUAACUCUUAUUAUAUUGGGGUGAACGUUCCUUUUUUUUUUAGUAGAGUUAUAACAUCAGUUAAGCGUAUCCUAUCAAACGCUUGGGUGAGAUCAAUGAAGUACAUAAAGGCUGCCUUAUUAAACUUUAUGACUUUUUCAGUUAUUUGGUGCAUUAUAAAUACAGCAUCUAUAGCAGAUCUGUUGUUUCUGAAACCUAAUAAGACAUCAAUAGCAGUAAUAUGUGAUUCUGAUAAUUCUUGGGGUUUCUAGAUAUUUAUUAUAUUAUAUAUUAAUUCCAAACCUGUGCCAACUUGUUCUAAAUUUCAGGGGCUGGAAUUUUUUUCACAUAUUUUCAAAUUUCCUAUUAAGUUGCCCAUAAAACCGGUGUGUGCUAAUGAACCGAUAGAGUACGCUAGAGUUAAUUCUCCCCAUCCGCGCCAGCGAUUUUCCUUUCCCUGGUCUUAAUAUUGAUUGAAGAGUUUGAGGAGUAUGUGCGUGAGGUGUAUCGAUCAUAUAGGUAAAAAAAAAAGAUAUAUGGAAAAUUAUGAUUGCUUACAGGCUAACAAUGAUGCUAAAGUGCAUUCCGGAUAACUACUAUCAUCAAUCUUCUCUUCGUUUUAAACUUUCUGGAUGAACUUCAGUCGAUUUUCCAAAGGUUGUUUUAUUUUAUUAUAUUCUAAUAUUUUAAAUUAACACCAAAGUUUUUCAAAGGCCUCUUUUUUUGUUCGUAACUUAUGAAUACUUUUUCUAAGAAAUUAAAUUUGAUUUUCACUUACUUAUUGUUUCUUCUCAACAUUUUUGCAUAAACUUUGUUUCUCAAAAAUUCUCUGUAAUGGACAAACGUUAAAUAACUAAGGGCCACUAGCCUCCUGACUGCGCCAAUCAAAAGUUACUGACACAAAAAUCACUUUUUAAAAAGAUACUUCAUUUGAACAGCAAAACGACACUAUAUACAAAAAUAAAUGCAACUAUAAACUAAAUAAUAUGAAAUUCAGCAAGAUCUUCAGUUUAAUAAAAUAUUUGUUGAAUUGUGGAUCAGCAACUUAUAUUUUCAACUUAUAUUUUAUGAACGCUUGAAGAAGACGGCACUCCUCUAAAUGCAAAUUUGUGAAAACUCUUGUCAAUAAAAUCUGGGGCGAUUGCUGUCAUUUUCUUGUGGAUAUUUUCCUUAAGCUGACUGAUGUCCCUCGGAUUGUUCAUGUAGACUUUAUUUUUGAGGUAUCAAGUCAGGACUACGUGGGAGCCAAGCGAUAUCACCUCUUUUGAAAAUUAGUCUCACAGUCGCCAUAGAGUCAUUUGAUGUAUGACAGGUCGCUCCGUCUUUUUGGCACCAAGAUUUCGUAUUCACUAUUCUUGAUAUCGCAAGUUCUGGAGUCAAAUAUCUCUCUAACAUCGCAACAUAGCGGUCGGUGUUAAAGGUGAAGUUUCGUCCUCGUGAAUCUUCAAAGAAGAAAGGGCCAAUAAUUCCUUUGCUUGAGAUUGCUGACCAUACCGUUACUUUCGGACUAUGUAGUGAUUUUGAUGUUUCAUUUUUAGAUUAUUUCAGUCCAAUAACGACAAUUUUGUCGGUUUACGAACACAUUUAAAUGAAAAUGAGCCUUAUCUGAAAACAGGAAGUUGUCAAAAGUGGAAAAUCGACUAAGCAUUUCUUCGGCCAAUGCCAACCUUGCUCCAAAGUCGAUAUCUUUUAAUUCCUGUGUUAUCUGGAACUUAUGAGUAUGCAGUUCAAGAUCCAGCUUCAAAAUUCGCUGAAAACUUCGCUUCCGAUUGGACACAUGCGGAUUUUCUCAUACUGACUCCUUCAUCCUAUCAAUAUUGUCUGUGGUCUUUUUGCUGGUGGUUUAAACAUGAAACUGGUUUCUUCAAAACCUUUAACCCAUAUUUUAAUUGAAUUUGCACUUGAAACUUCAUUAAUUAAUCAUUUUGAAGAAUCUUUUCUAAAUGCGAAUCGAAAAUAUCGGUGCCAGUUAGAUUAAUGUCUAAAAUAUGAUUCACCUCAUUUGAUUUGUUUAUUUCUUCUGCAUGAUAGCUGUUCUGAAUACACUGUUCACACCAACACUAACAAUUACACUGUUUGAUGUGCGUUUCGAUAACCAAUUUAUCGUCUUCAGAGACUGAAGGUAAACAUUUGACCUUUGUUAUUUAUCAAAGAAUUGAAAUACAUUUCGUUUUAUAUAACAAUUAUUGUCAUAGAUAAUUAUUAUCAUGAAUGAUAAAAUCGAAUCAAGUAUACCUUAUAAUCGGAAUUGAAACAUAACUAAUUAGAAAAGUACUUUACAUUUAUAGCUUCACAACGGUUAGAAAUAGAUAUAGGGAACGCAAAAAAUAAAAUACUUCAAGAACAGCAAAACGUAUGUACAUAAAACUCUGCUCAAACUUGAACUAAUUUCACUACUAAAAUUGAAAGAUGUGAUCAAAGACAAGUCGUUUCAUGUAAGAAAUGUUAUGUUGAAAUUAUUGAAUUAUUUUAUGGACAUUCUAAAAGACUGGAAAUGAUUUUAGAUCGAUGCCUUAAUUGAUACUCAUAUUGCAAUAAGAAAAAAAAAACAAUAAUGUUUUCCCACUCGAAACUUUAUGUGACUCACCCUGUUUAUAGUAAAUUUGAUACGAUAAAUCAUAAUAAACCGAAUAAAAUGGAAGUUUAUAAUUAACAACUCAUUCUUAUAUCUUCUUAUUACAGUACUGAGAGAGAAUAUAUAUUAUAAUUAUGAUCUUUGGGGUUCCAUUGAUAUUUUCCUGGAAAAAUGAGAUUUUCUUUGCAUAAAAUAGGUCCUGCCGAGAUAUUCUGAUUCCUGUCAUGUUCAUUGGACUACAUGUUACAUAUUGUUGGAAAUGGUGUUGUUCGGAUAUCUUUAUAACGUUCUAUAAACAUUACAUCUGGAGCAGGAUACAUUUUUUUUUUCAAAAUCUUAUUUCCCCUACUUUCUAUUGUUUACGAACUCUCCACUUCGAAUAGAUAUAAACUCUAAAAUAAAUUACGGUGCUCAACAGCAUAAUAUAUAUUUUGCAUAGUCCUUGUAUAAGUCACUCAUUCAAGCGCAACAGGUUAAUAGCUGGCAAAUGCGACAGUCACAUGUCAAUAAUAUGUGAUAGUAAAGUCACACGUGCGGCAGUUGUCCGUUUUCCACCAUUGUUUAUUUGUCUGUGAUUUAUUUUCGAAGAUAUAUCGAGAUUAGCCAUGGCAGGACAGGCAUACUACGAUAUUAAACGCGCACAAUCUCCCAACAAUGAGACUCUUUUCUUCGAUCAAACGAGGCAUUGGCAUAUCGUGAUCAAAAUCGAUGUAAACGAUGAUAAGUGCAUUCAGAGUCGCUGGUAAAAACUUUUCAGAUGAGGGGAAUAAUUAAUUUGGGUAAUGAUAAAAAUAUCAUUUCCCUUUAGUACAGAAUCUCAUUGAAUUUGUUUUAUAAAGUUCAUUUUUAGAUAUCCGAAACAUGUUUAGUUUUCUUGGCGGGUUUUCUUCACUUCCUUAUAAAGUCUCUACUAGCUUUUAUUUACCGAAUAAACAAAAAUUCGGUUUCUUCACCUUCUCAUAAAUCAAACCUCCGAAUAAACCGAGUUAUUUGCCAAAUAACAUAUUAGAUAAUUACAACUGUCAAUUAAAGAGUUUAGUAGAAACUAUUAUACAUCAAAAGUGGUUUGUUUGUUUAUUUUUGUUUGUUUUGAAAAUACUCGUCAUACAAAUAAUUAAAUAUUUAAUAUGGAUGCUUUCCAAGAAGAUUUGUUUGAUGAGGAAAUACAGCAAAUUCCAGAAGAACCAGCUUAUUCCGUUCGUCAUAAAAUUGAUCAUUACAAUAUUUGGUCCGAUGAUGAAAUUUUUUCUAAACUAAAAUUCUCAGACCAUCACAACUAUCGACUACUUCAACAUUAACCUUAACAAAACACGUGCAAAUAUAAUUAACACCUCAAGCGACUGAUAUGUUUUAUAAGCCGUUGGGGGCAAAAGCCAACCGAAGCGCAUUCUUUUAGUGUUGUUCGGCGCCUUUGCCGCUUAGUAUUUGUUAUGACUUGGAGAAGUUCACGUCGUUUACCUUUCUUGCCAGUGAUUGCAGCUUAGGAUUUGUACUGAUUCUCUAUAUUGACGUGAUUUGGAUUCUGUAUUGUGUUCAGAAUGGAAAGAGCAGAAGAAGAUCAAAAAAUUAUGGGAAGAUGUUUUGUCAGCUAGUGAAGACGAUUUUUCGCCCGAUGUAAGUGAAUAUAAACCAUCGGAUAGUGAAUUAUCUAGUUCAGCAGAGGAUCCCGAAAGCCUAACGAAAAAAUUGGAUUUUUCGUUUCACCGAAAGUUGCAGUUCAAACAGUGAGUGUUCCAAGUACUUCAGCAAAGCGUGUAGUUUUUCCAGAAGUAUCCAGUCCCGUUUCUAAUUCUCAAUCACUCCCACAGCCAACUGACACUGACAAUGUAGAUGAUAAUAUAGAAAAAGUUAUAAGAAAAAAUUUUAACUACACUGAAGAAAACGCAGACGAAGGAUAAGUUCCGACAAAUAUUAUUUGGUCUCCUGUUACAGGAGAAAACUUUUAGACCGUAAAAAGUUUGAUAUUUGAUUUCUUUGUGGAACACACUAAUUUAUAUCCUGAACAACAAAAGCUUCUUCAAGCGGCAAAAUCAGAGCUCGUAUUCAUUAGUGGAAGAAAACCAGUCGUGAGGAAAUGGGUGUAUUCUUCUAAUGGGUUUGGUACAAAUACCUUCUAUAAUCUCUUAUUGGUCGACUAAGAAGAUUUAAACUAAUUACCUAACAACUAUCAUGCGAAGAAAUUGCUUUCAGCUGUUAUUGAAGACAUGGCAUUUUACAAAUAACCAAAAUGUUCCUAAAGGUGACAGAUUGUACAAAAUAACACCACUCAUGACAAAGCUUCUAGAAUGCUUUCUAACCCCAAUUAUUCCAGGCGAAUUUAUAUGUACAGAAGAAACCUUAUUGGCUUUCAAGACAGGUUCAAUUUCAAGCAAUAUAUUUCCAACAAGCGCCGUAAAUUUGGCUAUGUUUGAAAAAUGGCUUCUUUUAUGAUCUUUCCAUUUACUGCGGAAGAAAGAAAUCCAAAUCAAGAACAAACUGUGUCUUCUAACGUCAUCUUGAAAUUAAUCUUGAACUUACUAAAUCAAGGUGAUAAUUACUAUACAUAAGUAGAAUUAGCCAAGGCAUUACUCCAAACAAAAACCUACUUAUUGUGUACUGUAAGAGGUAACAGAAAGAACAACUCAAAAAUUGUUACCUAGAAAAAUGUAAAACGAGAAGAACGCAUUGCAAAAUACAAAACUUGUUCCCGAGAUGAUUGCCUUGAAGAAAAUAUCAGGAGAAACACCAAAACCAAAAAGUGUUAUUGAGUACAAUAAACAUAAGACUUAUAUUGAUUUGUCCGACCAAAAAAAAAAUUCUACAAUUCAUCAUUGUGCCGCGUACCGAAAAUUAACUAUAUUAAAUAUAGUCGAUUGUUGGAUCGGCAUUAGUUAAUGUCUUCGUCUCAUAUCAGCAAGUUACUCAAAACAAAAUGUCCAUUACCAAAUUUCGAGAAUAUGUUAUCAAGGGUCUUAUCGAAUGUGAAGAAAUCCCCCAGUAUGAAAAAGAUCACGUGCCUGGUCACAUCCUGGAAGACUGCGAGAAGAAAAAAUCAUCUAGCGGAUGUUAUGCUGAAAUUUCAGUAGCAUCUGGUCGUCAAGUCGCAAAAAAUAGAACACCAAUCACUAAAUUUCUGAAUAUACUGAAUAUACUGUUUAUACCACCACUACACCAACACUAACAAUUACACUGUCCGACGUGCGUUUCGAUAACCAAGUUAUCGUCUUCAGAGGCUGAAGGUAAACUGUUUAUCUUUAGUCUCUGAAGACGAUAACUUGGUUAUUGAAACGCACGUCGGACAGUGUAAUUGUUAGUGUUGAUGUAGUGGUGGUUUAAACAGUCUGUUAAGUGUGAAUAUCGCCAACGGUUUCAGAAAUUCCAGCUUAAUUACUAAAUUUCGCUGUAAUAUAUGCCAAAAAAACUUGUGUUCCAAAUGUUCCUUUGAUUUUCAUGUUGCAUUCAUUCCAAAUAAUUGUGCUUUCAAAAAUUAAUUAUGGAUCUAUUAUUUUUCCAUUUAAAAAUAUGUGACAACAUCUAAUUCCAAAACCAAGUAUACCCUCAUAUUGUCCAAAAUAUACUCAAUAACAUCCCAAAUCACUUGCACUGAAGUCGCAUCAAUGCUAUUCGGCGCGACCAGAAGUAUUUUUUGAUAUGUCGGAUAACAUCGAUCCCCCAUGGCCGUAUUGAAUUUAAUUUUGUUAGCAAAAUGGGGGAUAAGGUGGAUCCCAUGGCAGUUUACGUGUUAAGCAUAGAUCAUUGUCAAAAACACAGAUCAUAGGAAAUCGUCCAUAGAAGAAUCGCUUAUUUCUUUCCUUGUUCAAUAGUGUUACCAACACCAGAUUAUUUGUUGAGUACAUAAUGAAGUGACAAAUUAGUUACUUUGUAGUAUGAAGUAACAUUUAUUUGACAAUUAAAAGUUCCUACUAAAUUUAUGUGGCUAAUAAUUAUUAAGCAUUUUAUUAGAACGUGAAUUUUUAUUUAAAAAUAAUAACAAAAUGAUAAUUUUUUUAGUGAAAAGAAUGUAAUUUUCCUAUUUUCAAGACAAUUGUGAUAGAUGGCGUUACUUAUGCAUUUUGCAUGAAAGCUUGAUUAGAAAGUACCUAAGAAAGUGCGUUAUCAAGGGCUUGGUGUCCGGUCACAUAUUUAAGAAAUUAUUAUUUCUAACAAGAUAACAUUCUAUGAAUUUGAGUAUCUUUUGUGUCGAAAAAUUAAUGUUUGUUUUAAUUUUUGAGUAAAUAUCUCCUCCCCCCUUAUUCGAUGAGUUAUUGAUAUUUGCUUGAAAGUAAGAGGCUCUUACUCUUAUAAUGAGAAAUUUUUGAGUUGAAUAUAAUAUUAUAGUACUUGAACCCACUUCAAACUACUUACUAGUCGAGUACAAACUUUCAACAGACCGUUUUUUAAGUAAAAAGUAUGGUUCGUUAGGAGAACCACCACCUUAUCUGAAUGUCUUCAGCUUUUUAUUUAUAACGAUUGGUCAUUAUCCAUUUAAUCACAUCGGGGAAUUCAAGCAUUUGAGUUUGAAAAUAUUCUAUAAUUAACAAUUGUUUCAAAAUUGAUCUGACCGGGAAAGUGAAAAGUGGUUUUUGGUGGUAGUCUAUAAUUUAGAUUCAACAACUAAUUACUAACAGAAACAACAGAAAAAGAAGCCUUCAUCUUGGUGAUAAGGUUAUUGUAGUAUCGGCAAUAAAUUAUUUUACAGGAUCUUGUUCUCUUUUAGGGUUCGAGAAUCGUUGCUCUAUCAUAUAGUACGAUAAGCUUUGACUCCUUUAUCAUGCAAUUUUAUAUAUAAAUCCCAUAUUAAAAUUCCCAUUGCGGUCACCGCUGCCACAAAACAUGCACAGAUAAGUAAAUUGGCAUUGCAGCCUUUCGUUCCUUUUGUUAUAUAGGGAUAACGAUGAACACAGUUAAUUCAUUAAUGCGUGAAGAAUUUUCAUUGCCGUGAUCGGAUUAACCAUGCAUCUAUCGAUCCGAUCAAUCUGAUAGAAGCGAUUCGAGUGUGUGAAGUUUUAAAUUUUAUUCCUGACAAAAGUGUUUUUCAUUAUAUCGUUAAUAGAACUUGGGUCGAAUAUAAAUAUUUAAAGUUUCAUAUUCUAGUUAGGACUUUACUUUUUAAAACUUUUAGCGAAACGUUAAGAAAACUGCUGUACUGUAGUCUAUAUUUUUUCAAUGACAUAUACAGAGUGUUUAAAAAAAAGGUGAUCCCGUUUUUAGGAUAGAUAGAAAACUGAAAAAUAUUCGUAGCGUCACCCGUAUUCAAGCUAAAGGGCGUUGAAUAAACUUGACUUAUUGAAUUUUAGCUAUGGAAUUUUCAAAAAUUACCAGAAAUGGUAGCUUCGAGAAGGGUUAGUAAGAUUUUGGGAUAUUUUGUUAUCAUCAUCGUUAUCUAUUAACCUGACUUCAAAAAGCUUACAGAGAAAUUUUUCAAAAUUAAUGAUAUACGAGGUCUGGCUAUUGAAUAAUGAGACUGGUUACGAAAAAGGGUUUUAUUAUGAAAUUAUUCUACAUUAGAAUGCUCCCCUUCAAUAUACUCUCCUCCCCUCACCCCACACCUUUCCAUACGUUUUUUCUAUUGAUUGAAGCAGUGCUGGAAUUCUUCUUUGGUGAAGAGCUCUGACGUUGUUUGCUUUACCUUUUCCAUCGACCCACAUUUGGUUCCACUCAAAGCAGAUUUUAUCUUCGGAAACAAAAAAAAUCGCACAGUGCCAAAUAUGGUGAGUAUGGCGAGUUUUCGAGCACUGGAGUGCGCUUAUUAUCCAAAUACUGCUUCACAGAUAGCGCAUUAUGAGCAGGUGCGUUAUCUUGGUGCAUAAUCGGAACGCUUUUUACGAAUUCGUUUUCGUAGUGUUGCCAAAACUGACAAAUAGUAAGUCUGGUUGACAGUCUGACCCAUUAAUACCGUUAAUGUUGAAAAAACGAUCAAUAUUGCCUCUAGGUCUCGUUAUUUAAUAACCAAACCUCGUAUAACAAUCAGUUUUUUUCCCAGUAUAACAAAUUAUGAUAUACCACGCACAAAAUGUACACCAUCUCCCCUUGUGUCCUUACUUAAUUACACAGUUGCAACCCCUUUUUCAGAUACAAAUCACUUAUCAAAAAUUGAUGCUAUUAAUGACAUGUUAAGGCUUUGAUUACUUUAAAAAAUGUAUCAUUUCCAUGUCUGAUAUCGUGCAAGUUACUAUUUAACAAAUUAUUAUAAAUAAGUUAUGACGUAUUUUUUUAUUUUCAAAUGGAAUAAUUAUAUAUUGUAUCCAUACUAGUUAUCGGUUAAUAGAAUUAUUGAUGUAUUAGAUUUUCAAUUCAAUAUUGGGUGAUUAAUUAGAGUGAUAAAGCCCAGUGCUUAUUUCGUCCUUUGACAUAAAAAUUUGAAGAUUUGAGGGAUUAUAGCCAUAAUUAGUCUCCAAAUUUUUUAUAUUAUUCACAAUCUUACAUAAUCUUCCAGAAUGCUGUGCCAUAUCAAAGUGGAAUUUUUAAUGUAUAGUAACUUUCAUAUCAUGUCGAAAAAUCAUAAAUUUGUUCUUUAUAAGAUAUUUUAAUCGAGUACAGACUUCAAAUUAAAAUGAUAAACCCUGAAACUUCUAAGUGAUGGAAGUCAUGUCCGUGUUAUUCAAUGAUUCCAGAUGGAAUUAUUCUACAUAGGGUAUAGUAUAACAAGGUGAGAUGGGUUCUUACGUUGGUUCGGUUAUUUUUUCCCCUGUAUGUUCCAGUUUGCCUAUAUUAUAUAGCGUAAGAACAGUCCCUCUCCUAAAAAGAUUAGAUUCAUUGCAUAGAAUAGGAAAAUUAAGAUCAAUGAAUAUGUAUCACAAUAAUUCCUAUCUCUUAAAAAUUACUUCAAAGUGGAAGACGAAACCUUCACCCUUAGACGACAAAGUAUGUUUAGCUCCCAUAAGGUACACUAUUGAUGUGAGUUCACAAGUCAUUACCAGCACUGAUAGAAGUUAAUGUUUGCAACAACAUCAGGUAACGAAUUAAUGUGGUAUCACUUUUUAUCUCGAAAUUUUAAUGAUGAUAUAUACCUGGAUUUUAUACACAUCACUAAUUCAAGGUAUAAGAGGAUUUGAAUCAUUCGAACAUUUUUCGAAACGAUGGAUUGGUACAUAUGCAGAAGCUUCAAUUAAUUGGCCUCUUCGGCUCAGUUUGGUCAUAUCUCAAGAGAGAGGGAAAAUCGGAGUUAACGCUCUUAAAGUAGCGGCCACCUACUCCGAAUCUCUGUAGUAAAUUUUUGAGAUUUGCAGACGUUGUUUGUUCGUGUACUUCACCAUAAUGAAAAGGUCAUGUCUACUUAAUAAUCUGACAGUGACAGUUCGAUGUUAAGUGAAAAGGUAUGAUCACAAACCAAAUUCAAAAUUGUCAAGUCCCUAUUAGAAAACCCAUACUAUAGAGGUAUUUCACCAAGAACUGAAAGAUAGGAUUUGACAUCACUUUAGUGACCUCAUAGAUGAUCUCCAACCGUUUAUAAUAUUAUUGGAUCCAUUAGGAUAGGAUGGUUUUGUAUAUUCGUGAAAACGAAGGACGUUUUGGCCACUUACUUUAAUUAAAUUUAAUUAUAUCUCAUUAGUCUUCAUUUUGAUAUUCUUUAUAAUUUUCAAAUCAAAGUAUGCCGAAAACGGUAUCUUUUUGGUGUAAAACUGAAUGUCAAACCACAUCAAAGUUAGUUGUAAGCAACUUUGAACUUUAAUUACCUAAUAUUAGUUGUCUUAAUCCAUCCAAUAAUUUAAAAAUAGUUUAUCAAUUAUUAUAAAAUGUUUUUCGUUAUUUAAAGAUAAAUAAUCGCUUCACCUCACAUAUAUAGACCACGAUCAUAUCCUUUUGGUAUUAAACGGUCGAACGAAGGGUGGUGAUCGACGUUAUUGUACAAGAACACUAACAUUACGGCGUUAUUACCAACUAAGUAAUAGCCUCUCUAGUUAGUUGUACAAACUACUUAUUACACUUAACUUUAACGCUCAUCUCGUUCACUCAACCUGUGCCCUACUAGCAACGCUGGAAACACAGAUUAUCACACUCUCAAUUAUCUCCUUAGGGACUCACUUCAACUUUUCUUAGUUACCGUACCGGGUAAAUACAGGGUAUUCCAAAAUUAUCUUUAUAACUUCAUGAAUUAUAAAUUCAUAAAAAUAAACAAGAUAUUUAUAUUCUGUCUAUUGCAAGUAUUACUGCAACUAAGUUUUUUUAGUAUACUACUAAUGCGGCGUUUUAAGUCAUCAAUGUCAUUAACCGGUGUCCUGUAAAAAAUGUCCUUCAAAUAAUCCCACAAGAAGAAAUCGAGGGGUGUUAGGUCCGGAGACCUUGGUGGCCAUGGAAGACACAUGGAACGUGGCCUCAUUACCGAAACACAUCUUUUUCAAGAAAUCUUCAUGAUUCUCAAUACGUUAUAUCUGUCUACUGCAAAUUCCACAUGUUUUGGUCGACCUGUUGGUAACAGUGCCUGCAGCAACUGUUUAUGAAGAAUCCUGUAGAUUUAUGAAAUAUCCUGUGGAUUGUAGCUGUAGGCAUUUGGAGCUGCCUUGAAACCUGACGAAUUGAAGUUUUCGGAUUGUGCUGGAAUGUUUGCCGUAUUGGUUCCACGUUUUCUGGACUUGCGCUUGGUCGUCCGGCACGGAUGGAGGGUCUGGAUGGUGAGUUUCUUUGGAAUUUUUUCCUGAAGUUCCGUUGAUCCUGUGUAUCUGAUUUCGCCUCUAUGAACCAUGAGCUUUCUGUUGUGGUGUCCACAUCUUUACUAUAACUGUUCAGCCUAUUAAAAAAAAACUUGUAUAUAUUCGAAGUUGUGAAUUUUUGAAGUUGUGAAGAUAAUUUUGGAACACCCUGUAUAUAAUAUAUAAAGCUACACGAGUAGUUAUGUUGUCGAAGUUUCCAAUAUUUUCAUCUCGUUUCUUUAAGGUAUUUCGUUAAAGAUAAUUUGUGAAUAAAGUAACUUGUCAAUUUUAUAUACUGACUGACAAAAAAUUAAACACCUAUGAACGUUUCUAAGAUAUCAGAAUUGUAUAUCAUUUGAUAAUUUCACGAAUAAAAAAUUUUGUGACAGCUACUACUUUUGCUAAUACUGAUUAAAUCGAUAACUUUUUUGUUAAUCAAUUUGAAAGUGAUUCUCAAUCAAAAGAUGAUAUUUAAAUCUUUCAUAAUAACAAAGAUUGUCCAUCUGUUAAUUCUUUAUUAGUUUUAGACAUAAUUAGAAACAUUUAAACAAGGUAUUUGGCAUUGAAGGUCUUAAUAUACAACUCAUUACUCUGUUUUCUUAUAUUCCUAUAAUUUUAAAUAUUUUACAAUAACAAUGUUUUUAAUUGUUUAUAUUUUUAGUGCACCUUCCACAAAAGGUUCCAACUGGUACGAUACCCUCACCUAAGCCUAAUACUUUUCGCAUCCACCCCUUUACAUCUUUAUUUAUAAAUUUAUUUUCGAGUCUGUCUCUCAAGUGCGGUCCAACUAACUGACGUGUAAACUUUCCUAUAAAGUUGAACCUUGGUUCCAAUUUGCUCUCAGUAAAACAUUUAUGUACAAUAAAAGCAUUGAUAAUCGCCAUAUAACACUGGAUACAGAAAGGGGACAUCUUUGGUCUCUGCGCUGGGUUGGAAUACAUACUGCACUUGAAAUCCAGGGCAGCAACUCCUCCUUUUGUUUCGUUGUAAAAUACAUUUAUUUCCGACUUUCCUGUUUCACAUUUUUUUUUUUUAGUUUUACCUUUUACUUUCCAGAGAGAAAAACCAUAUGAAACAUCAAUCAGUGGUCUUCCUUUUGUUUGGGUGAAUUCGGGGGGCAACUUGCACUUAUUUUUUCAUUGUACCCACGUAUGUUAUUCCCCUUUUCCUUAGCUCAACUACUGCCUGUAUCAAACUGAACCAAUUGUCUGCUGUUAGAUUUCUGUUCCUUCCCAGAAUUGGUUUUGAGACAGACAGCAGAACAUGAGUAGGUAUCAAAAGUUUUUUCUCGCUAUCAGCUAAAUCUUUGCCAUCCGACCCUUUAUGUCGUUUAUUGGACAUGUAAACCCGAAAUUUAACACGUCUUCGAAACGGAAGCAAUGUUUCAUCGAUGGUACAUCGAUCGCUAAUGUUAUAAACAACUUGACUGUUUGUUAUAAAUUUAUGCAAUAUUUCAGAAAUAGCUGCGACAGGAUCAGACUGUUUCUUGCUGGUCUAGUGGUGAGAUCGUCGGAGCGCAACGCUUUUUUUUAUUACCAUAAACAUUUUGUAUGACAUGGCAGUUCUAAAUAUAGCCCUUUGUGACCAGUGUCAUAUAAAGAUUUUGUACCUUCUUUAUUCGAUUUCAUCAAAACCCCAAGAACUGUAAGCAGUUCAUUUUCCGAUAUAUCAUAAUAAUUUCUAAUAUUUGCUGCACCAAUUUUGUUUCUUAUUGUUGAAGAUGUAGAUUUGUAAGCUCAUCUUCCAUCAUGUCUGAAUCGAAUAAAGAGACACCAAAUAUCGAUGGAGAAUUUCCCAACUUUCUCGAUGCAUAUUGGGUAACCUCUGGUAGCUUACAUUUCAAAAUAUUAAAAAAUGGUGGCCUUCCCACUCUCCUAGGUUCUUUAGAAAUUCAUUUCAUUCUAUUCUUGGAGUUCUAUAUUUUCUCUGGGGGACCACAUGCUGGAGGAACCACUUGAGGUUGAGUGGAAUCAGAUUCGCUAGAAUCGCUAGAGUCACUCGCGUCUUUUAACUCACUAAGAUUUGGUAAGAAAUCUGAGUCAUCUUCAGACUCCGAAAAUGAAUGGAUUAGAUGAUCAUGAGAAAAACUGGAUCAGUUUGAGUACUCGUACCUGGACGUGAGGAAUCUCGUAGUGUAACCUCAGCAGGUUCACGUGUUAACUGAGCUUCUCCACUGUCGCAAGAGUAGUGAUCCUCUUCAUUCUGAUUUUCCUGUGCGAACAAUCUUCGUAUAUCGAAAGUAAAUUUUGGGUCCGUAACCCGAAAUAUUUGCUUGUCCAUCUGCACAGAAAAAAGUUACUUGUUGAUAAAUAUUGACCUGAUUCUACAAAGGUAAUACUAUUCUAUUAACCCUAUAUUAUAUUAUUUUGAAGUUUCAAAUUUAGUUUAAUGGUAGAAAACUUAAUAACAAGGGAUGUGAAAAGGUAGACAUACUACAAAAAAAGUAUAGCAUCUGUGACACGUGGGUCUGACAAACCCGGUAAUUUAAAAAAAAAAUGCCUUACCUGUAAAAUUAGUAAUGGCUGAAGUCUCAAUACUCUCCGUGGCUGUCACUAGCAUACUAGAUUCAAUUUACUUGGCAGCUAGAAGUGUACAGAUGACACAAACAACAAACUUUCCCGUAUGGGUCUUACUGACCCACGUGUCGCGUUACGGGUUAAAUCACAUAAUAUAAAUAGUAAUUCUUCAUUUUAUUAAAUUAAGUUAUCCGGCUAUUGCCAACAGGUUAAGUUAGAUGAUGUUAUGUUUAAUAAUUUGACGAUAAAAGAAAUUGUCCCUCAAGGGAACAUUUUAGUGUGAAGCAUGGGUCAAUCGACCUAACACAAACCUUCCAUACAUCUUCCUAUAAACAUUGAUAUUUUGUGAAUGAAUGAUUUAUUAUUAUCACUAUAUUGUGGUAUGUCAUGACUAAAACUACAGGGUCGGCAAUAAAUUUUGCACUUUCGAAAUUGCCAUGAAAAAAGAGAACUUAUUGCAUUGGAACAAUGCUCAUUUAAAAUGAAGAACAUAGAAUUCAAAAUUAUUACUUAAAGUGGCUAUUAUCUGUUUUUAGUUAUUCGUGUAGACUAGACUUUCAAGAAAACUCUGAUAUUAGUCUGGACUGCUUAGAGGUUAUAUCUACUCUCCUGGAGAUCAAUUUGCUUAGAACAAUUUAUGCCACCACAGGUAUACUCUUUUUGGAUUUAUGACAAGUUGGACCAACUUCGUGCAUCAAUGCUGUCUCUUUGUAACUUCUCAAAAUAAUGUCACUGUGGUUAAAUGAAUAUACUAUAAAGAAAUGAUAAAACACGCUUUUAAAGCACAUCAAACUAAAAAAUGUAGUUGUAAGGAUGUCGGAGUGCUUAAUUUCCAACACGGAGGUUCCAAUCCUUUGUCGAACGAAUUUUUUCUAAAAAGAGCUACUUGCUCUUAGUCAAAAGGAGAGUUACAAACAAACAAACAAACAUUUAGAUGAAACUAAUAGAAGUUACCAAAAUGUUAGAACAUCGUAUCGAUGAAGAUUUUUCGUGAAAUCAAAUCCCAUAUCAAGUUUUUCACUAGAGAUGAAGUUUUAAGUACAACUCCUACAUCUAUACGAUCUAUUUUCAAGAAGCGAGAAAAUGUAUGGCACAGCUUGUAGUUCAUACCCAAUUUUCAAGUAAUUUCCUGGAAUAGUAGCCGUUCAAUAGAUUCUGUACAUCACCAAGGAGCCCCAAUUAAAGUUAACGAAAAUAUCAUUACUGGAUAUGAAAUUGUAGUUAUAAUUCUACCCAUUACAUAUCAAUUACCCUGUAUGAAAUUACUUGAGAGGUUCAACAAGUCCUAGAGAUGAAACACAUGAUAUACUAUCUAAACUUUGUGUGGUAACAUAUCCCAGAGGAUGAAAUUGUUUGAUGAUCAAGAUUCUGUGCAAUGCGAGAGAAUCCCAAUAUCAAAUACAUAUGAAUACGUUGGUUAUAUAAAAACCAGUGCUGGCCAAACAAAAUGUCGAUAGAUGUUGAUCUAAAGAAUACAGAUUUUUUUAUAAAAUUCCGCUUCAUCAAUUGAGGUGGUUAAUUGAAAAAAUAUUUCUAAUGAUGCGGUCGUAAUAAUUUAUGUAAUGUGAAUCAGCUUUUCAAGGAUUAUUUACCAAUGAAUUUCUUUGAUAUAAAUUUAACACAUAUGAGGCAUUUUUGUAUUGAAUACUUUUCGAAAUAUGUAUCCCGUAUCAAAAAGAGUUAUUCAAUAUGUUGAGAGUUGUAAAUAAUAAGAUGGGAUGAAACUUCACAUUUUGCGGCUACUCCAUUGAUAAUUGGGGAAUGAAAUUUCAAUUGAAACUUCUCCUUAGUCUUAUGAAAUAUAUAGUAUUUAAUGUCAUGAAAAAAAUUAUAUUCUGUGUUUUGUUCAAACUUCACUCUAUCGAUAAUGUCAACUAUUAUCCAAAUUUCGUUUCAAUCACUAGUGCUUCACACGAGCUCAAAACCUUCAUCUUCUCGACUCAAUUUCGUAAUCUCAGUAUAGACGGUGACAGCUAAGAAUCUCUUUUUUCACCUCAUAAUAACUUAUUUCACAGUGUGCUUUCUAGAGGAACGGAAUUGAACAUUUUCAUAAACGUUCAAUUUCUUCCUUUACGAAAUAGGAAAUCUCGUAACCGUGCCUGUUGCAUUAUUUUCUAUAUAUUCGACUUUUGAUAGUUAGUGGAGCAUCUACGAUAGCUGCUUAAAGUUUUUGCUCUUUAUUUCUAUAAUGUAGAGUCCACAAUUUGUGACAACUUUUUUUCCUCUUUAUUUAACAAAAACAAUGAGAAAUAUUAAUUGAGUAUGUGGUUUUCUUUCUAUAUCUAUAUGUUUUAAGUGCUAUAAUGUAGGAGAGAGAGAGAGACAGAGAGAAAUGCCUUAUGGUCUAAAAAUUUGUAGACGAAAGCUUGUGAAAACUAAAAAAUAUAAACAUAAAAAUAAUUAAAUAAAGAUACAAAUACAAAAGGAUUAUGCCCUCAAAUUAUUGCGAAAUGCGGGAAAAGAUGAUAUCGAUUUUAUUUCAAUUAGCAAGUGAUUGUGCAUUUUUUUGCAUUGUAAAAUAUUGAGCCCUUAACUAAUUCUGAACGGAAAAUUGGAAAAGCGUGAUUACGAAUUAGGCAAACAGAUCCAAAGAUUAAUAAGGAAGAAAGAGUCAGAAUUUUUAAUCUUUUUAAAGAAGUCCUUGCAGUAAGCCCUGCGGGUAGACUCCAAAAUAUUUUUAAUGUUUAUUUUUGAUGUCAUUAAUUGUACUGCGAAGCUCUGCUAAAACUACGAGAAUAAAGAAGAAACUGUGUAAAUUAGAAUUAGUAUCAGGUAGAUAUGAAAGCGAAUCAUGAGAAGGAGUUAUAGAAUUUGAUAAAUUUUAGGCUAAAUUCACAAUGAAAGAUUAUAGCGACAUUCAACAAGCUGUAUAACGUUUAGAGGGAAAAACGGCAAAAGAAUCUGCUCCAACACUGAAUGGAAUUUUCAUAAUUUUGUUUUUGUUUAGAAUAUCUUCUCUAAACAAAUUCGUUUAUGCUCAUAUAAGUUAUUACCAAAAAUAUAUUAAAACGUUUGAGAAGAAACGAAAUUAAACAAGCCAAAUUAUAUAAAACGUAAUAUAGACCAAUCACAGAUAUCACUAUUCCACCAAUAAGUGAUUUGCAAUUCUAUAGCUUCUCAGAAAAUGAUUUUUUGGUUAGCAGAAGUAUAAUAUCUUGCAAACAGUUAAAAAUGUUAAAAAUGGCUCUAAACUAUAAUCAUCUGAUGAAAAAAGAGUUUUACCAGAAUUCCGAUGAUGGAUGCAGCGAAAGCACAAAUAAAAAGGUACACAGAGAAAAAUAACAGCUCUUAAUUUACCAUGGAAGAUUUGGGAGAUAAAUCAAAUCUCAGUAUGUUUAUUAGAUGUCGAUAAUACACAAACUGACAUAAUACUUGAAGAAUUGAUAAAUUAAUUUCAAAAUCUUCAUAUUUACCACGAAAAUAAUAAUAAAAAAUGAGAAAAAUAAUACGAAAACGAUUUUUUGUUAUGGAAAGAAAUAUAAGUUUAUCUUGCAAGACGAAUACUAUUAUUUCUAUCAUCUCUGCAAACUACUUUGGCUGAGGUAGACGUGAUUUAGGACAGUAGAAUUAUCAAAAGGUCUCUAUUCGCCUCGUUACCUCUUAUAAUGCUGUUAGGGCUCCUUAAAAAAUUAUGUAAUUAUAAUAUGUAGAUAUCUUCAAACAUAUGAAAGCACUAGCAAUAACAAAUUUGUAAUGAUUUGGCUGGAAUGUAAAAUUUCCUUUCUUGUAGUAGGUGUACCGAAAUUUUUGGUUACGUACCUAGUUAUACUUCUUUAUGAAGGGCAUGAAUUGUUUUGACAAAAAUAUUAUGCCCACCACCAAGCGAAGCUUACCCUCCCCCUUAAUAUCGAAAAUAACGUUCUUAAUAUGUCAAAUACGAAAAAUAUACAAGAUUCCAAAAAUUAAAUCACGUAUAUAGGAUUAUAGAGGUUACCCCAACUUUACAAGAUUAUCCUCGAAAUUUUGAGAAUUCGAAUUAGAAGAAUUACGAAAACUUCUUGGGACCACACGAUGUCAGAAAAUAUCAUCACAAAUGACGAUAAAUUUUGAGGUUAUAAUAUUUUUCUCACCUCGGUAGCUAUAUAAAACAUACUCGUAUACCUAAAAACACUACUACGAGCCUUCCAGUGCCAUUCGGAGCAGCCGCUGGGAGUUGGGUGGGGGGUGUGUUUAAAGUACUUCCAGUCAAUUCCAAUUAUAAGUACUCAAAAUCCGGAAGAUCUUCCGAAAAUUACAUCUCCAGGUUCAAUAUUUAGCGAUUCCUGGCACCCUCACAAAGUGGGGGGAAUUCAAUAUUACCAUAUACGAAUGUCAAGGCGCUUCGGAAUUUUUUCCCAUGAACUUUCCCCCAUGAAUCCCCCAAACUUUAUCCAUGUGAUUAUGGAUAUUUUUUUGUCUUCAAAACGUACUUUCCGUUUUUCUGCUAUGGUGUAACGUAAAAAAGUUACACACCCCCAAUUGAGGUUCUCCGAAAAUUCCGACUUUCGGCCCCAUCUAGACUCCCCAAAAAGUGGGCCGAUUGCAAGAGCUCGGAUAUUUUCAGGUAUCUUAAGCUGGCUUAUUGAUUUCUCAAAAUGCGGAAAAAAAAUUUGUGGAAUUUACUUUUCAAUUUUUUACUUUUUCAGUAAAAAAUAUCUUUUUAUUUGAAUAUAUUAAUACAAUUCAUUCGGAAAAUAUCUCCAGCUAUCCUCUACAUACGCCAUUGGAGUAAAUGAUCCAACACUAUUUCUCCUUUAUUCAAAUAUAUAUCCUUGGACCAGCAGCUAGCACAUAUACACACACCGAUUUCCAUACUGACUGAUGUUAUUUACCCCUUCCAUACUCUGUUCCCGUGUAAGGUACACUCCGAAUAUAUUUCAGACGUUUGUACAAGACAUGUACACUCGAAAGUAAAACUAAUGGAACGUCUUAUUGAACAAGGAAAAUUAAUUUUCUAAUGAAACUUAUUUCUAUUAGUACAACAAUAUUUUUUGUAAUCCUGGAAAUAUUUCAUCAACAUUUAUAAUUCAUAAGAGGUUUUUCAAGAUUCUUGGGUGCUGAAUACGGGACAAUCUACCUUCCUCUCCCAAAAAGUAAGAGCGGGAUAAGAAAUAAAGAAACAUAAGGUUAAAAAAAUAACCUUGUGUAUUAUCUGGAGCUUAGUAUUGAUAUAAUUAAUAUUUCUUCUGGGAUCUCCACUUUGUGAAUGUUGAGAACAUGGCUACGGCUUUCAUGAGCAAUAGAAAAAUCUUUAUUGCAAUAUUUGCAUGGGGCAUUGCAAACACUACCUUACAUGGUUGAAGCUACUCACACGCAAAACUCUUUCUUUGGCAUAUCUUCAGUGCUACAACUUUUCCUUUUUUUUCAUAAUUCAUUGUAUGUAUGAAGAAUAUAGCAGCAGUAUCGAUAGCCUAAAUUCAAAUUAUAAAAGAAAAAACUUUCUAAAACACACUCCACAUCUACUCAAACAGUAUAUAAAUUAACAACAUCACUCGGUUAGAGCAUAAGUCGACUGCUGUGAACUGUACUGGGUAACGAUUGGUCAAAUGGAUGACAUGACGUGCUGUGGUGGUGACGCCAAUAUUAAUGUUCUUUGUUGCGGGAUAAUACAAUUACUAAAACAUUUUAUGUAACUUUUCAUUUAAUUUUCCCAAUUUUUUCACUAAUGAAAGUAAAAUACGGGACAAACAGCUCCCGUUUCACUUUGUUGUGGAACGCGUGACAAGUUAGGAUUGGUCGUUGAAAUCCGGGACUUCCUGGAAGAGUAACAUCGCCCAAUUUUCCAAACUAUUUGGCAAGAAACUGUUGGAGAAUGCAUUCUACAUGGGUAAUAUUCAAUUAACUGUGCUUUUCUCAGUGUUUCUAUUGAGACAUUUGGCAUACUUCAUUUUUCUCUUAGGACGCAUUUACAUGAAGCCAGUAGAUGGUCCAGUUGACUGGUGCCAACUCACUGGUGCCAGUAGCAGGCCUCGUACGAACUCCACUGACGUCCAGUGAAAAAAAGUCACUUCAGUCGACUGCCUCAUGAGUAGCUUUCAGGUCAGCCCAGUUUCCCUCACCACCGAAAAUUCAAGCUAGCGUGACUCGUGGAAUCGUGUGAAUCACAGGAAGCGUUACAGUCCAGUUGGACCUCCAGUUCCAGACAGUACACGUGCCUUUUGUUACGUUUUGUGUUUCGCGAUUCAAAUUUUGAGAUGCCAACGAAGAAAUUGAGCGAUGAUUUAAAUGUUUUUUGUUGGAGCCCACAGAGAAAAAGAAUGUUUGUUGAACCAGUUAUACAAAAACUAACUCGGCACUCUAGAAACUUUCAGAUGAAAUGGAGUUGGAGGAUUUUGGCUGAAGUCAAAGCAAAAAAGUCAAAGCAAAAAUAGAAUCUCUUCGAAAGUACCUACAACCCAGAACUGGACAAGCAGAAAAAAAGAGAAAUCAGGCCCUGGAUCGGAAGAUGUUUAUGUUCCUAUAUUGGAGUGUUUCAAGUUAAGGAAGGAAUUGCUUUCACUGAAAUGAAUAACUACUUGUAACAAUUAUUACUUCAAUUGAUAAUAAAAUAUUUGGAUAUAUUUCUUUAUACUAAGCUUCAUACUAGAUACUUCUUGCAAAUCUUUCACAUUCCAUAUUUAGUAGAAACGGUGGAGCUCUUUCAUCACGUGACUCAAUCUACGAUAUAUCGAACACGUAUUAUCUACAUACUACAAUGGAAAUAUAAUAACAUAAGAUCGAUUGUCUUCUUCACAAGAUGAACUACAAGACAUACUUGUUGUUUUCCUUGAAUUAACAGUAUUAAUCGUAAAAAGCGACAUCGACAUAACGUGACCGGACUAAAAGUUAAAUUUCAGCUUUGUUUCCUGUGUUGUUUUUAGUGAUUUUUUCGUUUGAGCCUGUAUUUAUUGUGAAAUAGUUAUUUUCCUAACAAGUGCGGAAAGUGAUACUUUCCCGCACGCGACUGCAGUUGUCCCGAACGACGCGGAGCGGAGUUCGGGUAAGCGGUCAAGUGCGGGAAAGACACUUUACGCAUGUGUUAGGAACAUUAUUUUUUCUACGACCGUAUAUACAAAAAAGUAUACCAACCCAUUUUUGAAAAAUUAUUUUAUUCCAACAAACAUAACAAUAUAAAAAACUGUAACUAAAAACUACUAAUUAUUAUAAAUAUUAAUAUGGAAAACACAAUUUGUUGUAUUCUGUAGACUAGUAAGAAUUGCCGGUCCAGUGGAAUAAUUUGGUUUCAACUGGAAGGUAGAUGACGUCGAUGAGGAUUGCAUCGGUUGCAGGUCGCAUAAAGAUGACGAUGGCGGUGACGGCAACAGUUUUAAGUCAUUUGGCAGGUAACAGCUCGGAAUUAGUUUCAUUUGCAGCUUUCAAAAUGGCCUCGGGAAGUUCUUCUUCGGAUGAAUCCAUUAAUAUUAUUGUAUCGGAUUCGGUUCAAUGUGGUUUGAUUAAGAAGAAGAUUGUACUUAUUCGGUCACUUCCAAGACGUUUUGAACAACUUUCACGUUUUAGUAACAAUUACAUGGUUAAAUAAAAAAUAUCUGUAUUAUUUUAUAUUUUUAAAAAAUUAAAACUGCUACAAAAAGCUAGAAAAGGUUUAAAUUUUAUUUGAUGGACUAUUUCGUGAUUAUUUAUUUGCUUGUAGUAACAAUAGUUAUAAUCUCAGAAGUAAAAAACUAUCUAAUAAGGUCAAAAUUUGCAUAAUUUUACUUUCCCAAAAAACUAAAAUGCGUACGGGAAAGUGGGUUAAAACGCACGGUCGUAGAAAAAUUAGUUAUUUUAAGAACUAACUAGAUUUUUAUUCAAUUUUACUCUUACUUAUAGUGUGGUAUUUAAAAUUCUAAUCUAUUGUAUUUAAACCCCAGCCGACAAGUUUGAUUUGAUUCUAAAACGUAAAUAGACGAGUAAAAUGUACCUGCCUGUGAUUCAGGGUACCAGGCAUGUACUGUACCCUUUUUGUACACCAUUCGUCCAUUAGAACUUCGGUAGUCUUUUAUCUCAUGCAAAUAAUCUUGUCGCCAUCGAACUACCCUUGACGAUUCGUUUAUUGCCAUCCGUUUAUUCAGUUUUUUGUAUUUAAAACAAUAUGUUGACAAAACUUGACACAAUGUUUCUAACCUAGUGUAAUUGUAUUCUGGAUAAUUUGCUACCUUUUGCUGUAUUACUUCUAAUGCCGCAACCGUUUUCUCCUUAUAUAAACUACUAAAUUUCCCAACGUAUAAAAUCUUGAGUAGCUUUGUCAACUGCUUACAGUUAUUUUUUAAAUUCAUACAUGUCUUUAUUCUCACUACACUGGGCAAUUCCAUUGUCUUUAUAACUAUCUGAAUGGUACUCAAAAAUAUAACUUUUUAAAUGCUGCUCUAGAAGUGUAUGCAAAACGAGUCAUCUCUGGAUUUGAUAAAUCUCAAGACUAUCAGAGAGCUUGGCAAAAACUUUGUGAGAAGUUUGAUAAGAAAAAUUCCCAAUCGAUAUCCAUAUUAAAGCACUUUUCAAUAUUAAUCCUAUAAUUAAAUUCAUGAAAUUCAGAAAUUAAGUAGAUGACAUUUCAAAACAUAUCACAGCACUUAAGGAAUGGAGCUUUUCAAAGAAGCCCUUUGAAAUUUGACUAUUAUUCAUCAUUUACAAUAAACUUGCUAAAAUUACUCAAAAUAAAUGGGAAAACCUCAUUCUCAAAGUAAAAAACACACUAAUUAAAAUCAAUCAAAUGUUCAAGUCCACAAAUCGCCAAAAAUACACGGCCACAGUCAGUAUACAUUUAAUGACUUUUUGGAAUUAAGCAUCAAUGACAGAUAGGACAAGGUAAAAGAACUACGUUAGUUAGUUAUUAGUACGUUAGUUAUGUUGAAACUAAGAAUAGAGCAUUUGAAAAAACGUGCAUUUUAGGUUUCUGUGAGGAAUGCAGACGAAAUCACAAUACGUUAUCACAUAAUUUUAAUUACAAACAUAAAACAAGUUAAUCAAUGCAAUUCUAAACUAGUCAAACAGUCAUGCAGUGACUAACAAUUCUUCUAUCUCUCAAGAAUCUUCAAAUAUUCUGUUACAAACAAUGUCAAUGUAUAAUCAACAAAAUAAUUACAAUUCAUCCAUUCUUCUCUCAACUGCAACUUUCAAAGUAAAAGAUGAUCAGGUCAAUUUAGUACUUUUCGAUAUCGAUUCAGUACAUUCGUCCGAAGACGAAGAUGUAGUACCACCGUUUCCAGAUUACAUUUAUUGCACUGUCUUGCACUGAACUGGCUGAACUGACUCUAUACCUAGUGCUAGAAAGAGCGCUUCAGUGUACAUUUCUUGAACUAGUUCUGACAGUGCAGUUACCAAGAAAAAACCUCUGAAAACAUUAAGGUACGCAAAACCUUUGACUGGUAAAACACACAACCAAUUAUCGUGAAAAAUCUCGAAGAAGUUAUGAGUGUGGUCUCUUUUCUUUAUAUUAUUCUAAGUACGACUAAAAGUUGUGAGUUCUGAGACUGAAAAAUAAUCGUGACAUAAUAACAUAUUAUUGAAUUUGAAUAGAGGCUGAUGUAAAGAGGUUUUCUAAAUUGUCACAUUAUUCAACGUUGUAAAAACAUCGAUAAUUACUUAAUCCUAAUUUUAAAUUUGCGUGUGCUUGUUUAUUUAGCAUAUCAUUAUAUACAGCAUAAAUCAGUUUCUAUUUUGAAAAGACAGUGAAUAAAUCUCGCAAGAUGCUUUGAGGCAUAAUUUACAUAGAAUCGAUGAUAUAAACAUGAGGGAUAGAAUUCUAUUGAAACAAACACCUCCGUCAUCAAGGGAAAUAAAUCGUUCGGGGACCGGAUCUGGCUACUUCACCCUUUAAGGUCAUUUUGUGACAUUAGCUCGGCAAAGAGAAACUAAGAAGAUGUGGGGUUGGCAAGGGUGUGCAUUUAAGACGUCGGUCUUGACUUGACUUGGCCGACAUACACUAGCUUCGAAUGAACGAGCCAUCCUUAGUCUGCAGUAGUCCGAUAAUUAAUCAUACAUUGUAAUUAGUUCCUAUGGGGGCUCAGUGCCAGGCCAGAACGGCGUGACCUCCAGAUACGAGGCCAUUGUAUAGUUCCGACUCUUUCCUUCUCUUGUCUCUUGUCUCCUGUCCGCAGAUACACAAAAUGUCUUUGUAUCGUAUAUUCUCUAACGUGUCAUUCGACGGGGGCAGAGGAGUCAAUAUAUGGAUACUUCGUCGAUAAUUUUCAGCUAAAAUAUGAAGUUAUUCGUUGUUGUUUUGAUCAAAGAGGAACGUGCAUAAACUGAAUAACAAAAAGUUUUAAAAACUAUAGUUUCUAAGAUGGUUGUUCCUCAGCGGCAUUAACGGUAUUCUUUAUUUCUUCAACUUAUCUCGUGUCCCAAUUAUUUCAGUCUUCAUACUUCACUAUAAAUACGAGAUGUUCUGAAAGAUCUUUCUUAUUUACUCAUCAAAUAUCACGCGAAGUAGUGAAAAUGAGAAUUUACACAUAAUGCAAGUUGAGGAAGCAAAUCAGUUACAAUGAAGUUAUUUGUCGGUUGAAAACGUGUUGGUGGGUUUAACAAAAACAAGCUUCCUUCGUUGUCUAUAUCGACCCCAUUAUCACCUUCUUUUGGCUCCAUCUUCGGUUGAUGAGACAUGGGUUGCGAAGGUUCUAACAUGAAUCCUGAAAGAAUACACUCUGUUCUUGCAGAUACUUACUUAACACUAUCAAAACUUGCUGUAGUACUUUAUUCAAAGGCAAGUCGCACUUUUGUCUAUAUGACUUUAUAUGGAUAAGUUGAACUGUCGGUACUGGUUUUCGAGAAAGGCCACUGCAUUACUUCAAAGUGAUAAUACAGGCUGCAAUGAGCACCAGUAUUUAGAGUUCUUGCUCUUUAAAACAGGGAUAUUUUGAAAUUUUUUCAUAUUAGAGCUCGAUAAUUCUGCUGUAUUCAACUUCAUAUUAUAUACCAAAACUGUUACUUUUGCAAUAAUAUUUUAUUAUUAUAUUAUAUAACAUUUUAUUGUUUUAUCGCCGACGAAUACAGCAAUUAGGUACAAAAUAUUGAGCAAAAGAAUUGGCUUUUCAAUUAGUUCUGUCCUUUUAUAAGUGAUGGAUCUGCUAGUUUCGCCUUUGUAGUUUUCUAUGUCUUCAUCAACUUCCCUGAAGUUUCAUAUUUAUCAAUAAACUCAUUCUUUUAUUUUCAUAUUAUUACUGUUCAUUUGAAAAGCAGUGAUAAAAUCAUUAGUUUUUGGAAAGUGUGCAGCUAAACCAAAUUUUGAAAUUAUUGUUGGAAGUAUACGAAGACUCUUCUUCUGCAAUUCGAAAGGUAGAAAAAUUAGCUAGUGCAUUAAAAAGUGGUCAUAAAAUCCAUGAAAAGUGAAUCUAUGAGGGAAAACAAGAUAGGAUAAUGCAAAUCGUAGAUUAACUGUGAGAAAAUAUUGGAAAGUACAUGUAAAAAAUAAACAAAGACAUACUGGUAUUGAUCGCAAAUCAAGAUACAUGUCAAAACUGUCCACUUAACUCGUGGUAUGUUUUACUAUUCAGUUUUUUCAUAGUAGCUUCACAACAACUUGCUCUUCCCUGUUCUCGUUUGGUACAAAGUGGUACAAGUUUUUUUUUUGGUCAUAAUAUAUAUUAGAUAACAAUAUAAGUAUCGUAAUUAUGGUCUCAGAUUCUUCUAUCAUGUAAUAAUUCUAGUUGACCAUAGAACCAAAUUAGGAAUAAACUUGAAAGUUGUUGUUUAUAUUUUCAUUCACCAUUGUAAAUUUCAAAUGACCCAACAUCACAAUAUAACAUGUGAUAUUGUUAUUAGUUUGUAGAUGAACUGGCAUAUUUAUUAGAAUUUUGUGUUCCCUUUUUCUUUUUUCCUGCCAGAGAUCUUCGUCUUCUAUUUCAUAAGAUCCCUAGUGUAAUAUUCUAGAGUUACGUUGGGUCUCAUACAUUCAGAGAAUGUGAAUGAAUUUGUCGUUCAAUACUCAACAAAAUCUGCGCACUGUAUUAUCUGUUAAUUCUAGCGUCUUCAGAUGCCCACUGAGGUGACAGUGCUCCGGAGUCCGGUUGGUAUUGCUAAGGCUGAUGAAUUCAUCAAAUCUUCUCUGGUUAUAAUUUUCUAGGAGAUUAUUUGCAUGUCUUAGCUCCUGUGGGUUGUCCUAAUAAUUGGUUUUACCCCUAUCUACCUUCUUCUCCAAUGCUUUUUCCAUUGUUCUGUAGCUGAUAAUUCGGAAGGAUUUUUUCUCAUGUUUGUUCUCUCAGUGAUAAGCUUAUUAUUCACUUAGGAAUAAACUAUAUUGGGCAUGUGUGAAUCAUGAUUCUUCUUGUGAAGUUAGGGGGCUUUGGGCUUAGUUUAUGCCGGAUGUAAUCUGUUUAUUUCAAUAAUUUAUGCUGUCAGUUUUUUUAGAAAAAGUAUAAGUAUAAUUUCUGACUAUAUUGUUUUUGUAGACAAUUCAAUAUUCUUGAAACUUCUUAUAUCUGGCGAGUGAAAUGUUCGAUAAUAGUAAAUCGCCAUCAACAUCGUAUUAUGAAAUAACUUCUUCUACUACAAGCGUUGUACUACAUCCAUAUUAGUGGAAAUCAUCUUCGAUGUCACUUUCUGGUUUCGAUCCAAGUAUAGAUCGUCUCUUUGAAAUUGAACGUCAUUCCUAACGAUUCCUGUGAUAUUUUCCGUAUUUGUAAGCAAAUAAUGCAUAUAAGAGAUGAUAUUUGUGUAACAUAAAAUAAUUUUCAACAAAAAUCAAUUUAUAUUAGUCACCUAUAAGUGUUUGCUGAUUCACUCAAAAAUUAAUUUGUUUAUGAUUUUUUUAAUAAUUACAUUCAGUUGAGAUACCUCGAAAAUGGUGAUAUUCUCGUAGGUGAAUAUAAAAUUGUUUCUAGUUUCGUAAUAUUUUGUGGUAUCCCGUUUGAUUUGCUAAUGUUCGCAUAUGAUCCGAUGCUGCUAACGCCUUUUGUGUUUCGUCGAAGACCGCAAAGCAAGGCUCUCUGUCUCGUUGCUUUCUUGGGAGGAUACGUACGAGAUUUCAGGGAUAAUGUAAAGUCCUAUAAUGUAUUCCGGAUCUUGGUCACUCAGCUGUACAUGACAUAAUGUAUUCCAAUUAUACGACGAACAAUGUUUAUCACGGCAGAUCCCUCUUUGAUAGUGUUGAAGUUAGGUAGUUACUCUUCUUAGUAGGGACAUUGCAUAUUCACGAUAUCUCUCGAUGAAGGUUUGCUUCUGACAUUUGUCAUUCUAUCGUACGGGAAAUUUUGAUAAUUCAUGUCCAUUUAUAGACUCCAUUAAGUGAUUUAUUACUCUAACUAAAAUAUUUCAGAUGAUUUUAGAAAUAAACUAUGAUAUAAUAUUAGUAUAGUAUAGAGAAUAUUACAUAAAAAAUAAUCAGUAUUCCUUAAGGAUUUCUUAAAACACAAGGUAUAAGAUGAUCUAUUUGAAAUAACAGAGUUUUUUUUUUCCGGAAAAAGGAAAAAUCUGACAAAAAUGUAAAUACCAUCAUAAUACCGGUCGUAUCACAAGACUCUUGCUCACGAAAAUUUAUAAAAAUCGUACAAGUCGUUUAAGAGAUAAUUGAGGCGUUCCAUACAUAGAACUCACUCUGUAUAUUGAGGAUACCGGAUGUUUCAAAUUCACAUAUCACUGAAUUCUAGAAAGAUCAAAGUAAUAGUUGUGGCAAAGCUGUAGAUUAGAGGAAAAUAUUCAAAUUUAUUUCUUGUUUUUAAGAUAUAACUACCUCGAAAUUGGAGCACUCGGUAUAUAGAAAAGAUCAAAAGAAAAUAUAUUCAAGGACGAUCCAUAUUUUUCCAAAUGUUCAUUUGCAGUAGAAAAUACGGUUAAUUUGUGAAUAAAUAUUGUAUAACGCAUUCAAAAUGGAUAUUUCACACUCCGGUGCCCCAAACGAGUUAUAAUGAGCUUCAUUUAAUAAUUGAACCUCCCAAAGAUUUCUCGAGAUUAUUAUCCGAGUUAAUUCAUUAGCAAAGUUUCAGUGACUACAUAAUACUUAAUAAUAUCUUAAUACAGGCGUACACUAUUUAACAUAUAAUUACUGGCAUUACUGCCAAUCAUUAACUGCCAAGUUGAAAGUUAAAAACGCCGACACCUUUGGCCCUUAUAUCAAGGUGGUCUUUAACUGCACUUCAAGCUUGAGCACGAUCAGAUUUUGAAGUCAAAGAAGAAUGUAAACACCUACUUUAUGUAAAAAUUCAGAUGAUUAAAUUCGUAGUUUACCAUGCUGCUUAUUAUUCAAUUGUAUAAUGAUUAGUAUCAAAUUAGUGUAAAAAAUAAAACUUGAAGUAGAUUUUAUAAUAUAAUAAUUAUUAUGAAUAUACGAGAUGUGUUUAGAAAACAGCAGGAAUGAAUAAAUUCCACAGUUUUAAUUGCCGCAGAAACUCGUUAAAAUUUUCAGUGUUUGACUAUUUAUUUGUUCGUGCUAGACGGAUGGUUCGACAUAUUUUUAUGAGCUCGUUGAUUUUUAUUUCUCAACAGAAUUUUGGGUAAAAAUGAAAUACAAUGUUAACAAAGUCCUAUAGCAAAUCGGUCAUAAUUUGUACAAGAGUUUACGAGUUUUACAAAUUUUUUUAGAGGGAGACGAACCAACAUACAGUUACUUGAACAGAUGACAAAACGUCAAAACUAAGCAAAUGAUUCGAUAAAUAUAAUCAAACCUGAAGGUUCCAUUGAAUAUGUUCAGUUUCAAUGGAAUUUUUUUAUCUUGAAAUCUCAGUUGUCAGCUUGCAUGAAAAAAUCCAAGAAAAACGCCCGCAGUUUUAGAAAAAGAAUUAAUGGUUUUCGCAGCUCCUGACAUUUUGUCCAAGAAACAAUACUGUAAUAAUUUUACACAUCUACAUCCUCGUCAGACAUAGUUCUCUAUAUUUUUCGAUCAUAAUAGAAGCUUAACCUAAUGGUUGAAUUUAAGAAGUGGAUCAACGGUUGGAAAAGGUGCUAGCACAAAUUGGGAGUAUUUUAAAGGUAGAAAUAUUGAUAUAUACGAUAUUUUUCUGUGACGGAAAAUGGGAAAAAUUGAUACUUUUUUCGCAGAUAUUGUAUAAACACAUUAGCAAAGGUAGAUAUUCAGUUUUAGAAUAUUUUAUCAUACAAAGAAGUAAAAUUUCCUUAAUAUGACAAAUACAAUUACUAACAGAAGUUAGCUUUUAAGGGUUGAUACAACGAUGUCUUCUAGCAAGCCAUUGGAAUGUAGAGUGCCCCAAGGUUCAGUACUAGGCCUUAUUUUUUUCUUUUGUUUAUAAACGAAAUCACCUAUUUAGACAUCAGUGUUAAAAUGUGUCUAUUUACAGACGAUACCUUAUAUCUUGGUGCGAUUCUAAUCUUCUCUGUCUCGCUAUUUCUAACGUGAUGUGGUUUGACUCAAUUUAAGCGAAUCUUCAAACUACAAAAGAGAACUGUUAGAUAUUUACUCGGACUAAACAGCAAGGCUCACUGCAGGGACUUCUUUAAAAGAUUAAAAAUUCUGACUCUUGGUAAGCACGGAACGCGGAGCACCACCUUUACCUACUUACUCCACGUUCAGAAUUAAUUAAGGGCUCAAUAUUUUAUAAUAAUUUGAGGGCAUAUUCACUAGAAAGUGUCUUCUACUCUGUAAACGACUUCCAUUCUAAUAAUAAUAUUCAACUCCGAUUACAAACAUAUUGCAUACUGGUUUAAUUUUGCUAUGGACCAAUUAUUCAUUGUAGUUUCCUUCUGUUUAUUGAAAUUUCAUUGUAUUUCUAUCUUUAUUUAGUUAAUUCGUUAGUUUUCGCAAUUUUUUUUCUACAAAUUUUGACAAUUUUUUGACAAUAAAGCAUUUAUCUCUGUAAUGACCUGUAUAUAAGUUAGCAUUUUUAAAUUGUAGAAAAUUAGUUACUGUUUUGGUAACUUUAUAAUAAUGGUUUUAACCCACAAUCUGAUUAAUAAAUUUUCCAUUUCGAUAUGUAUAAAACAUGUGGCGAUCCUUAUCUGCUGCUGUACAUCACUGCAAUUCCAAAUACAACAACAAUCUUGACCUUUAAUAUUCAGCGGGAGCAUCUUUGUAAUUAGUUUGAAAUAUUUUCAAAUGUCUACAUUAUAAUUGGAUAGUAACAUACUAUUUAUCAUUAAAUAAUUCGACCACACUGUUCAUGCUUUCUGUUUUUUGCCAAUUUCGAAAAAUAAGACAUUAAUACCAUCUCCGAUAAGAAACUACAUGUGUUUUUCAUAUUUUAUUCAAUGAAUCUUGAAUACGGGGCUUCGUCAACUUUCCGCGAUUUACUGGUAAUAAUCUUUGUAACACUACUUUGGCUACUUCUACUAAUUACAGUGGGAUCAAAAAAAAACUCGGAAUCAAACACUUUUUACUUUAUAGUAUUGAAAAUAACAACCACUAUGUUCACAAUUUUCAAUUUAAAUCAAAAAUUAAACUCUCAGCUUACUUCAAAAGUUUCCUUGGCAUCGCAAGUCUAAUAAUUGUUGCUAUAAGUACAACAUAGUUUUACUAAUUUGAAAAUUGAAAUUUCACAUCUAUAAUUUUUUACUUGAAUUUUAUGAUACUAGCAUAAUCUUGAUGUUUGCUGCCUCCAGGUUGUGUUAAAUGCGGCCUAUUUCUUUUUUUUACCAGCAAAUCAUUUACGGUACUAAAUCCACAUUUUGCUAAACUUGAAGAUGGAAAUGGUAGCAAUAAUUUUCUAGCACAUUCGGUUGAAUUUGGCAUCGUUGAAGUAGUUUCUAGAUUAUCAAAGGGUAUGAAAUAUUGUUGAAUACAAAUAAAUUGUUCCUUAUAAUGUUCCCCUGCCAGUUAGAAAUCUGAAAUAAUAUAUGUUAACCUAGUGUAUCUUGACAUUUUUUGGGCCAUUCCCACCUUAGCCUUUCUGAAAUUCUUAGGCCUCCCCUACAUAGCUUUCACUACUGAUCAAUUUAAUUAUUCACUUGAUAAGCUUAAGUGAUUGAUUUUAGGACGAAAUCACUAGGAAAUUGUUAACGAAACACCCAAACACAUAAUGAAAAACUAAAAUUCAAAUUUCAAAUAAUUUUAGUUAGGUUUUUCCAUAUUAAUUUGUCAUCUUAAUUUAGUGAGAUUAUUCGCUUGGUGUUUGCUGCCUCCACGUUGUGUUAAAUCCGGCCUAUUUAUUUUAUUACCCGUAAAUCAUUACAUCUUCCUCUCUCGUAUAAUGAAUAAUUUUUUCAGAAAACUAUUUUUUCAUUACUUUCCGAAGAUACUUGAUAGUUAUAUUUUUGAUCUUGGAAUAUAAGCAAAAACUUAUUUUGAAGGUAGAAAGUUUGUAAGCUAGUUUUGAAAAUCUGAAUAUAUUUAACCAAGCAAAAGAAAGUUAACCCUGGUGUUCUUGGGAAUAAUUACUAUCUGACUUAUAUUUUGUAAAUUUUCUGAAUCAAGAUCAAGAUCUAGAAAUUUCAAAACUAAUCAGAAUGGAAAAAUGAAUUUACUUACGUUGUAACAUAACACAUAAAAGUAUAAAUAAACAAUCCCUUUAAUAUUAUAUAACGAUUGAUUACAGAGCACGAUUUAAAAUGGAGCUAGUCCACAAAUUGGUGAAUGUAUAAAAAAAGAAGUGCCUGUUACUUGAUCAAUAGCAUCAGAUAAUGAGCUAAGUUAAAUUAACACGUUGUUAAAUAAACGGUAUUACAUCGAAACAUACAUACAGGACAAAAUAAUUUAGGCCUGGUUAAUAUUUCGGAGAUUCCAGAAAUUAUUUAAAUUUAGAACAGGCAGAAACUUAGAAUAUAAGAUCAAGCAUUGGAUACAAAGAAAUGGAAGAACUACAUAAUAUGAUAUGAGGAAGAAAGAAGACAGAAAACAAAUCUAUCAGCAAAGACAAUUUAAAUUUUGUUCACAUUUUCUGCGGAUUUUAAUAAAUAGAUCUCGGUUAAUUGAUACAUUUUUAGACAUCCGUGGAUCUAUCACGUGGAUCGUACGGCUUGGAUGGAUCACUUUUAAAUGCAACAGAACAUCUUUCCUUUGUUCGAAUUACGGUGCGAGAUUCACAAUAGGCAUGAUAUUCUAAAUUUCCAUUUUACAAAAAUUCUGUAAUACGCUCACUUAGAACAAUUCAGAAUAUGAGUUGAUCCAUAAACAUGAAACUUCACACGUGUUGACAAAGAUAUCAUUUUUGGAAGACAAGCGACAUCUUGUCUUGAAAGACAGUACUUAUAUUGGGUACCAGCACAAAAGAAAGAGAUAGGUAGUAAUGACAAAGAUAUUAUGAGAUUGUUUAUUAGAAAAAUUGUUAUUAAAUUAAUAUACUGGAAAUGAAAAUUGUGUUGAAAAUAAAUUUUGCGGUUAGGAAUGAUAGAAUAUGGAGAGAACAGUUAUUGACAACGUGGAAGAUUAAAAUAAAACUGAGGCUCUAGGUAGUUGUUUUUAAUUACUGGAAAUAUGUGUCGUUUUGCAAUAGACAAUCAUAUAAAUUAGAUUUUAUGGUACUAGAUUUCGUUCAUUAGCUUCUUCCACCUUUGUGUGCUAGUACAAGCUGCUAGCCAUUCAAUGUCAUCCAUACUUCCUUCUCUAUGUUAUAAUACUGCUUUCUUCCAGGCUUACCUCUCGUUUUAGCAAAUUUUGGAUAAUAUUGGAUCCAAUAUUCUUAAGUGGUCUAACCAUGGUAGUGGAGCUGUUGCUGCAUUCCCGUUUUCUCUUAAAACUCUUUUUUCUUAUUUUAUUUAAUCGUGAUUAAUUUUAUUUUGUUCAUGUUGGUUUUAUCUUUUUUAUUUUCUAUAAAUUAUCGAACAAUCGCAUUCAUACUGUAAAAUUGGCUGGAUUAUCAUCCUGCACAGAUCAAUUUCUCAUUGCUCAAUUUGCUCUCCCCAUUAUCUUGCUAUUCACAUGGCAUCCUCUGCGUCUAUUGAAGAGAAUGUUGUACGGUCAAAAAAUUUUUGGACAAAAGCUUGUGAAUAACUCCAAAAAAACACACAAAUAAGUGAAUGAUUACAAAAUAGAACAAAAUCAAAUUUUAAGAUGUACAGUUCUGUUCUCUGUAUGUGCACUUAAUGCCUAAUCAGUUAACUGAAAUUCAGAAAGCUGCCAUUAUCUCCAAAUUGGAAGAUGGCUGGUCUAUCAAAAUGGUAACUCAUUUAGGUCUUAUUGCGAAUAACUUGGCGAGAGUGGAGGAGCUGAUAAUUUAUUAUUGGUAAACAUGGUAACAGAUGUCAAGUGAAUUUACACAGCUAAAAAAUUUCAAAAAUUUGUCUUUUCUAUGCUACUUCAAUUAAGAGAAGUGUCCCUAAGUGGAUAGCUGUGUAAUGACCGGAGCAGCGUGCUUAUGGAUUAGGAAAACGGAUUCAAAUAAGAGCCAGUGUCAGAUGCCAGAUGUCCCGGCAUAUUUUUUUUCUCUCGCAAUACCUCACUAUGUAAUUUACUUAAUGUAAUUUGAAAAACUCUGCAAACAUGAGUGAUCAAAAAGCUUCCUCAGUUUACACAUUCCUAACGAAGUUAACGAAGUAAAUUCAUAAAUCAAUUCACGACUUAUGGACGAGACACACUUGUCAUAUACCAAUCCGAUCCGAUUUUGCUCCAAAGAACGGAUCGGUACAUGAUGAGCACACAUGUCCUACACGCUUCCGAGCUCCGAUUUCCAGCUCUAGCUCCAUACAUUCGCAACUCUCGCCAGUCCCCAUUCAAUUAAAAUCGCGAAACAUUCCGUGCACAAAAAUUUAAACAACUGCGAUUUAGACUUGGAGGCACUUUGUUUAGAGGUAGAUGUAGAAAACCGAAGAAAUUUCAUGGAGAACAGAGGAAAACGCAGAUUUGAGUACACUCUACUUGGAAAAGGAGAAUAUUCUACACUUUUACCUCAUCUCUUGGAUGAGGUAAAAACAUUCUAAGAAUAUUUUAGAAUGUCGAUGGCGGCGUUUAACCUGCUGGAACUUAAACUCCAAGAAACUUUGUCUAAGCAAGACACAUAUUUUAAACAAGCAAUCACUUCUAGACACCGUUUGGAGGUUUUUUGAGGUAAGAUACUAAUUUAGUUCCAUUUAUUUCUCAAUUCCAAGAAUUUGAGGUACACUAAUGAAAAAGGGAAAACAAAAAAUGGAACGUUAAUUGCAUUUCAAUCAGAAAACCUUAUUACAAAUUAAUGAAUGAUAGGUCGGCGUCUUAUUCUCCAGUGAUGGCUGGAGCAUUUGGUGUUGGUAUAACAUGGAUUGGAAAAUGUGGAGGUUCAUAUACAUCUGCAUAUGGUUCAUUUUCUUCUGAUGAUAUGAUAGGCGCAGGUGUUGAGGUAGAGGAAGUGCGGGCUGAUGUUGAUAGAUUCGUAUAGAUCAUGGUAGUUCUUUGUUGGUUAUUCGCAUGAAGCUGCUGCAAUCAAAAGGUUAUAUAUAUUCCCAAUUUAGUAACAAAAAACAAACAUUGCAAAAAUUUAAAAACAGACAUGCAACCUGCAGCCGUGAAGCGAAUAGACUGCACGAUCGGAUGCAUGAUGGGAGUCAAGAAGAACUGGGAUCGGACACGUGUCGGAAAGGUGUGAACUACGCUGUUCAAACUCUAGUAUCAUUUCCCUCUCAGACACUCGUCCGACUGUGUGUGUUCCGGCCUUUAUUCGAAAUAGAUAGGAAUAGGUCAACAAGUGUUGAUUGAAAAACAUAAAAAUUCAAACGCUUUUCCAUAUUGUCAAUUGUCGUUAACAUAAUCAAUAACUGGCCUAUAAUUUUGAUAGAUUCUGAAGUGUAUAUAUACCUGUUGUUGAUUUUUUCACUACCUCAAUACUUCAACAAUACUCUGGCGUAGUAACGAAAAAAAAACGCAAAGAGAUAAGAACAUUUACAUUUUUGCCCGUAUAAAUCGCGCGCGCAAAUUGUAGUGUUUGUUCACGACCGUUUACUUCGCCUACUAUUAUCAAACAAUUACUUUUAUCAAUAUUCUAACCUCUUUCGUUCGCUUCAUGACUGCCUUAGAUGCGAAUGGGACACGCUCAAUUUCAUUCCAUGAGUUCACUGAGAUUCUCGAAAGUGCUAUAAUGGGAUCCAUGGGAUUUCUUAUCAACAAUUUCGAAAAGAUUGUUCAAAAAUAAAUUUAUUAUCAUGAUUUCAAUCAGAAUGGAAUGUUAUGAUGAAUUUUUUUUUAUAUAUUCAUACCUACUAUAUAUACUUAUAUUUGAUAUAAUGAUAUAUAUAAUAUUCUGAGAAUAUUGGAAUUCAGUAAAAAUAAAUAGUAACAUAGCCUUGUUAUUAAUAAAAAUUAAUGAACCCAUUGUGCGAAAUUGCUAAAUUAUACAAAGAAAUCCAGAGGCGUCUGGUGUUCAGAGAUUGGCAAUCUGUAAUUUUGAGACAUUAAAUAUCUAAUUUCUGAAAUUAAUUAUUCCAUCCAUCGAUGAACAUGUACUAUAUUUGGAAACCAUCAGUAGAUAUCAUGAAAGUUUAUCUGGAAAUUUGAAUCUUUAGAUUGGAAUUUGGAUGUUUGGAAGCCCUCAGUAGAUAUCAUGGAAGUUUAUCUGGAAAUUUGAAUCUUUAAAUUGGAGUUUGGAUGUUUGGAAACCCCCAGUAGAUAUCAUGAAGGUUUAUCUGGAAAUUUGAAUCUUUAGAUUGGAAUUUGGAUGUUUGGAAACCUCCAGUAGAUAUCAUGGAAGUUUAUCUGGAAAUUUGAAUCUUUAGAUUGGAGUUUGGAUGUUUAGAAACCUCCAGUAGAUAUCAUGAAAGUUUAACUGGAAAUUUGAAUCUUUGGAUUUGAGUGUAAGUCAAGCGCCCUUGUCAUAAUUCUGUGAAAACAAAUUGGAGUUUGGAUGUUUGAAAACCCCCAAUAGAUAUCACGAAAGUUUAUUUGGAAAUUUGAAUCUUUAGAUUUGAGUGUAAGUCAAGAACCUCCCUUGUCAUAUUCUGUAAAAACAAAUUCAUAUGAAAGUCUGUUCGCUCCUAAUACUAUUUGAGAUGACAUCAUAAUGAAAAUGAGUAGAUCUCAGGUCAAAAUAUUGAGAAAUAACGAACAAAACCUGAAAUUGCUGUGAGUACUUCUCGAUCUAACAACUUUGCACCUCUAGGCACUCUCUGAAUUCACAAAUGAUAUUUCUUCAUAUUCCAAAGACCACUUCUCAAUUAUGUCUUAAAAUGAAUGAAAAUGAAUCAACAAAAUGCAUUUUGGGUAAUUUGGGACUUCGUUUAUUGGGAAAAUUGUUAAUGAUAUGAUUCUCUUCAUCAAUAAGCACUCGUAUAUCUUAUUGAAUUUGUAGAGUAGUACUGAUUAUUGAAAGCUUAUAAUAUUAGAUGAUUUGCGGCAGUUUUUCCAAAGCUCUAUUUAGUAACCUGUUCUUUUUAUAUUCUAGUCUUUGGGUCUGAAUUUACCAAGAUAUAACCAUUGAGAUAUUAGAUUUCAUGACUUCAUCCACCUUUUUGGAGGCUUAACCAAAGUUGAGGCUGUCUCUUGCAAAUAUUGCUAGUUUCCUCUAGCCAUCUUGUCUAUAUGUCCAAUUUGGGCCCAUUUUCACUCAAUAAUAGACAAUAAUAUUCUGUUGUGAUCAUAUAAUAUAUAUUUUCUGUCUUAGUGUAAAAAUUUCAAUUUUGAAACUGUUAUUUAUAUAUGUUUUUAGUGAAAAGAUUCAUAUUUUGACAAAAAACAAAACGAAAAAAUGAUUAUAUAAACUCUCAUGGGUUAUUAAAACAUGCUUUAAGUUCUCGCGUAUAUAAUAUGAAUUUUGAAUUUUGACUAUUUUUGACAUUUUCAAAAGUAGAUUUGGAAAAUCGGAUAGAUUUUCACCAAUCUUCACGACUUUGUAAAAUUUCUAACAUAGAAUUGAAUACCCUUAGAAUCAAAAAGUUGGACGGAGAAAUUGAUGAGUGUAUCGAAACAUAAUAAAACUCAAUUUACAAACAUCUAUCGUGAUUCCUCUUUGAAUUGUUUUGUAUUUUGUAUCCGUAAUAUGAAAUGUUAUUGUAUAAAUAUAUUGUGUCAUGGCAGCGCUUAUGACAGCAGGUUUUUAAAAACUAAAUUCCAUCUAGGCAAAUGCAACAAGGUUUAUCACUCCUUCCAAAUCAUAUUAGGAGACUCGAAUUCAUUACUUUGCUUCUCCAAUUUCAGAAAGGUCGUUGCACGAUUAUCCACUUGGGAGUACGAUAUUCAACUACCCACUCCACGUUCAGAAUUAGUUAAGUGCUCAAUAUUUUACAAUGCAAAAAAAUGCACAAUCAAUUGCCAAUUGAAAUCAUAUCGAUUCCGCAAUAUUUGCAGACGAUACUAGUUUCUCUUGGAGCAACCCUGAUCUCAAGCACUUCAUAGAACCAUAUCUAAUGACCUAAUACCCUAAAUUAUGAUGCGAUUCUAAUCUUCUCUGUCACAAUCUGUAAAAUUAUUAGGGCUUGUUGUGGACAAUUCCUGAAAAUUGAUAAUUUACAUAUUCUGGCCUUAUCAAAAAAAUAAAGUUCCGCCUGUUUUGCGGUGAGAUUAGUUUCCAAAGAACUGAACUUAUCCACCUCCUUAACAGUUUAUUAUGCCCUUAUUGAGUCGCGUCCCCGAUAUGCCCUUGUGUUCUAGGGUACGUGUGGUGCGACUCAAUUUGAGCGAAUCUUCAAACUACAAAAAAGAGCUUACUCGGACUAAACAGCAGGGCUCACUGCAGUGACUUCUUCAAUGAAUUAAAAUAACGUGUAGCACGACCUUUACCUACCCACUCCACGUUCAGAAUUAGUUGAGGGCUCAAUAUUUUUCAAUGCAAAAAAAUGCACAAUCACUUGCCAAUUAAAAAUAAUCGAUAUCAUCUUUUAUCGCAUUCUGCAAUAAUUUGUAAACGACUUCUAUUCUAAUAAUAAUUUUCCGAACAUGUUGCAAACUGAUUUAAUUUUUGCUAUGGAAUUACCUAUAAUUUUGUUACUCACUUGGUUUUCGUCUGUAUAUUGAAAAUUUUUAUUAUAAAGUAUCUUUAUUUAUUUAGGUCAGGUUAGGUUAGGUUUGUAUCCCUAUUUGUUUCUUGGUUUUUACAAGCUUUUGUCUACAAAUUGUAACAAGUUUUUGACAAUAAAGUAUUUCUCUCUCUCUACUUCACCUUGUCGUAAUUUUGAUAAGAUUACAGAGCAAUAAAUUCCGACUCAAUCCAAAUUUUCUCACCUUAUGCUCUUAGAAGUGUAUAACUUUACUCAAUGCUGCUCUGUCAUAAAAAGUUUUUCCCGAAAACAAAAACUACUCAUAGAAUUUGUGAAAAAUCCAGAGGUACAUAGCAAUACUGUAGAAAUUGAAGAAUUAUUUGCUCCAGCAGCACUCUCAAAGAUUCAUGAGCUCAUUUUAUUAGAUGAAACGUGAGAACACAGUGAAUUAGCAAAUAUAAUAUAAAAUUCGUUGUUCGAGUGUUGCUUUAUUAAAUCAUUUAUUUCUUGAGCCUUCUUUGCAUAGAUCUAUAUGUAAAACCCUCAUCAUUUUGGUAUGAGUAGUCAAUAGCAACAACUUGACUUUCUUCAUGAAAGUAUUGAUAAUAAGGAUAAUAAGGAAUAAGAAACUAAUAGCAUUCAUAUAAUAAAAAAACUCCGGGUUCGCAGUAUUUAAUGCAAAAGUAAAGUUAGUUAUUUUUUAGUUUUAUGAUUAUCAAAAUCUAAAACUACAAUGUUGAUCUCAGAUGAUUUAGUUUCUCCAUUAUUCGUUAAUAAUUUGAUUGAGAAAACAACGAUUUAUAUAAAAUUUUUAAAAAAUUGUUCAUUAGUAUAAUUAUUUUGGAUAAUUACACACAGAAACAGUCUAAGCUAUAUAGUAAAAUCAAUCAGAGAUAGCAAGAGUAUAGCUAGAUACUUCUUUUCUUUUACUAGAUAACGUUUUGCCCAAUUCCUCACCUCAGAAAUUUUUUAAUUAUGCUCUAGCUCAAAAUAUAUUUAAAACUAGUAAUAACGAUGUGAUGAGCCUGUGUUUUUACUUAUCAUUGGUUAGGUUAGGUUAGGUUGGUUGGUAUUAGCUAAGAAGUGUCUGAAACUUUUAAAUAUAAGAGUAAAAGGUCCAAUUCCAUUAUCAGCUUUAACAAGAAGCCGGAAAAUCAUCAUGAAUGAUUGGCUUGUAUUUAACUUUUAGAUCUUUGAACGAAAUGAAUCUGAUCUUGAAAGUUAUAAGUUCAAAAUUGUUGAAACCUCUCUAUUUAAUCUAGAAGAGUUUUAGUAUUUUGCUACGCAAAAUUUGUCCUCUGCUGCGUCCUUUUUUGUAAUUAGACUGAUCAUUGGAAGUAUUUCUCCAGCUACUGAAGAAGUUUUCUUCGUAAAAUACUACGUUUCAUAACUGGAAAAUCUUCUAUAAUAGAACUAUCUUUUACUACACACAUCUCCAAAUGUCUUGGUCUCCCUUGUGAAAUUUCAAGUUUGCCUAUGUAUAGAGCCUAUUUUUUAUUCACGAAAUGAAUCUGCUCUCUAAAUCUAGAAGUUCAAAAUUGGUCAAAUCUGUCUAUCUAAUCUAGAAGAGUAAUAGUUUUUUGCUACGCAAAAUUUGUCCUCUACUGGGUCCUUUUUUGUAAUUAGACUGAUCAUUGAAAGUAUUUCUCCAGCUACUGAAGAAGUAUCCUUCGCAAAAUACUACGUUUUAUAACUGGAAAAUCUUCUAUAAUGAAACUACACACAUCUCCAGAAAUCUUGGCCUCCCUUUUGAACUUUUUAGUUUGCCUAUGUAUAGAGCCCGUUUUUUGAUUUUAAAUUUGUGGCACUGUGGCAUUGGGCAAAAAACCAGUCACGGUUUUGUGAAAGCUACAUCAGAAAGGGUAGACCGUUACAUACCCAAUUUCAUUCGAAGAAACCGAUUUAUAACGGUAACGGUCGAUCAAAUUCACUAUUUGCUAACAAGUUUAGAUUCAUCGAAUCUAAGGCCAAGAAGACCUUCAAGGAUGCCUAGAAUUUCACGACGACACAUAGCAGCCCGUCUCCAAUGGGCUCAAGAGCACAAGUAAUGGGUUUUAUAACAAAGGCGUAACGUUUUUUUUUCCCGACGACUCCCGAUUUGGUUUCCACAGUGAUAGUCGGCGGGAAAGGAUCUGGAGAGGUCCAGGUCGAUAGGAACGACUUAAUUUUAGCAGAGAUGUUCAUGGCAGAUACGUGAUGUUUUGGGGGGGUACAAUGUAUGGUCGUCAUACACCACGCCACAAACAUUAUAAUACCGAUAGUUCAACGCAAUGAAUAUGGAGUAAAUUUCAUUUUUCAAGAUGAUAAUACAAGACCACAACGCACGGAAAUAGUACAUAAGGAAGGAGAUAAUCAAAUAAUGAAUUGGUCAGUACCAGACAUGAAUCUAAUGAACAUUUGUGGGAUUAUAUUGGCAAACCAAUAUCCAAUCGAUAAAACCCUUUUUGACCGCUGCCGUUCAAGAAGACAAUAUGGCUGACCAUGUUAUCGAUAACUUGAUUCGCGGGAUGCCGAAACAUAUUGGUCAAUUAAUUGCAACAAGAGGCAGUGAAGAACUAUUAAUUUGUUUUUUUAUUACAUUAUAUCUUUUUUAUUAAUAUACAAAUUUUUACACUUCAAUAUUUUGCACAUUUUCCGUUACUUGGUUUACUCUAUAUUCUUGGUUAAGUAAAUUUAGAUUUUUUCCUUCACAAAUAUUGUUAUCACACAAAAUAUUGAAUACAUUUCAUAAAUUUGAAUAUAUUUUUUUAAUCAAUAACAAGGGGGGCCAAGACUAUUGAAGAUGUGAGUAUUAUCUCGAUCGCCAAAUGAUCAUUUUCGUCAAAUACUAAAAACUAUCACUUAUACUUGCAAAGGUCUCAUUCAAAGGCACUAGUCCCAAAUCUAAUGUUCUCUUCACUUACUUAUUAAUUAAUGAAAUUGAUUUCUAGAAUUAUAUUCAACUACAAUCAGUAGUCGGUGAAACACUCGUGCAUUUUCAGUUUAUACUACAAGUAAAUUUACUUUUAAAAUUGAACUUAAAAUGCAAUAAACAGCAUGUCUUUCAUGCUUAAACCUUUUUAUCGUACUAUGAAUCAUUCAAGAGUGAAAAGGUCAUUUUUGGAUAUAAAAAAAUAUUGUGGAAAAGCUAACCCCUCUAUAUCCACUAACCUAGCCUCCCUUGGAUUUUCCAAGGCCGUUGUGGAAAUGAAACCAAUGCAGAUUGUGUUAAUUUCAGUUGGCGUAUGUGUUGGACUGAAAGGGUGUCUGUGCGGGGAUAAAUUAGAGUUAGGGCAAUCGAUGUAUGCUGGUAUUAAAGACGACAUACUAAGAUUAAUGGUAGUGGUAAACUAUCCUUAAAUUUAUCUGGAGCGGACCGAACAUCUGAAACUUGAAAUUAUUCUAUCUAUAAAUAGAUAUCUUACACGACCGGUUUAAUAUGGUGAUUGCAUAAGACUUAUCAUCAAACUAAAAUAUUCUCCCUUUUUACGUGAACCAUUAAUAUACACUCACAAUCAUAGAGUAGAUUUAUUUGGAGCUAGUGGAUAAGAGACUAAUUAAAUGCAAUGAUGUGUAUAUAACUGAACACUUAAUUUAUUCACAAAACACUAAUUGCCUAUUUCUGUUUGCCUAUAUGACUAUAGAAAAUGGACUGACUGGGAUGCUCAAAAUCAACAACUAUUCGAAAUAUUACGAGUUUUAAAAAACAGAAGUGAAGCAAAUAUUGUUUAAGCCUUGAUGAUCAAUUUUUUCACCACUACUAUAUCAUACCACUCAAAGAAUCUAAUGGAAUCGAAUGGUAAACAGAUUUCUUAAAACACAAAGUGAGCUGGUGGUGAGUAUUCUACCUCCUGUACCUGCUUCUUCAGAUAGACUUGUAGCCAAGAAAAUAGACCUAGGAGUAAACUGUCAAAAAUGUGAUGUAGCAAUCCGUUUUCAUAAUCACCUUGCAGUCGAAGCAUCGAGUUCUCCAGUUGUCAGAUCAAAGCUUAUUCGAAACAGUAAGAAGCUCAAAACAAGCAAAAAGAAUUGAUUUUUGGUUUGAAUGUGCCGUCGUUAGGAAGAUAAUUACUCUGGUGGAUGCUUCCAGGACUAUUCAAGAAAUUAGGAAUAUUGUUCAACGUGCAAUAUUUAAUUCACAUUAUGUUUACGAAAAAUUAAGCGAACAUAAUAUGACAUUAUUGACCAACUCAAAUUUUGUAAUUGACUAUUUCGUGGAGGCGCGUUCAGAAGAAAUCGAAAGAUUGGAUGCAAGUAACCCACUUCCCAGACGACCGACGUCGAAAUCAACAAAUUUGAAAUCGUGAUGAACCUGUUAUUCAUACUCUUUCCACCUACUCGUUGUCGUCAGCGUUCACAACGAAGAUGUGUUAUGUGUUCGUUAAAUAACAUCAGAUGCGAUAUUAGAUACUUUUGCAAUAUAUUUUGCAACAUGCCUGACUGCUCAAUUUUGUUUACCUCUGGGGUAAUCCUAUCUUUUAAUUCCUGAAUAUUGGCAGGUUUUAUUCUAUAAACGAUGUUUUUCAAAUGACCCCCCAGGAAAUAGUCUAAAGGAUUCAUAUCGAGUGAUCGAAGGAGCCAUUCGAUAAAAUCACGCUUCCUUCUUUUGGGAAACGCAUCCAACGAGGAUGGUUACGUGACCGGCAUCUACAAUUAUGCUGAUUUACGUUUCUAUUAGUUUUGAUUGUAACAUUUUUCCACCAUUAGGUCUGCAAACUCUUUAAGUCUAUCAAAAUCGUCAUCUGACUACUCUUGAACCAACAUUAUUUUGUGUGGAUGGAAUUUAUUAUCACGUAAAAUUUUCAUUACGGAUGUUUACGAAAUAUCAAGUUCCCUGGAUAUUCGUUUAGUCUGGAUCAUCUUCUAAGUACACACCUAAAGAUUUGUUUUUAGUUGAUGCAGUCUUUCUGCGCCCUGAUUUGAAUGAUUCUUUCACUGAAACAGUUUCGUUAAAGUUUUUCACUAAUUUAUUGAACAUAGAUCUUGUUAUGGGAUUUCGGUUAGGAUAUAAAUUAUCAAAGAUAUUACACGUUUCUUGUUGACUUCUACGCCCAUCACCAUAUCCUAAUAACAUUAAAAUAUCAUUCCGUUGUGACUUUUAAUAAACUUCAACAAUAAUAACUUAUUGAAACGUCAAAUUUGUUAUUGUAGCUGUCAUAACCACCUAAUUAUAUUAUUUUAACUUCUGCGAAGAUAACGCAAAUUUAGGCAUAGGGAACAUGAGUUGAAAAAUAAUAAGUAUUUCUUAAGGAUUUCGAGAAGCGAAAAAUAUACAGGGUGAUCCAUUCGAAAUAACAAAGUUUAUUAUUUUACCGGAAAAA